This 45532-nucleotide long non-coding RNA is filed under the name Triticum aestivum (bread wheat). Its description in RNAcentral is "long non-coding RNA (TAES_LNC008645)". The stretch from base 40848 to 40962 matches the Rfam family "MIR1120/MIR1122 microRNA precursor family". Lineage: Eukaryota; Viridiplantae; Streptophyta; Magnoliopsida; Poales; Poaceae. The record is from RNAcentral.
ACAUCACAGGUGAUGCUGAUGAUAUCAACUCUUGGGUGUUGGACUGGAUGACCAAAAACACUCAUUAUAAGGCACCGGCCUCUGAAUUGCUUCAUGCCCUACCAAUCAGUCCUCCACCUGAAGGUGCUCGUUGCCUGUACCAAGAGCCUGAACUCACUGCUCAUUACAUGCAAGUGCUCAUGAAGCCUCUAAAGCCUGGUCAAGCCCCAAGGACCAAAUUCCUCGUGAAGGAAUUGUUGUAUGUGCCAAGAACCAUCUAUCACAUUCUGACGAAGACUAUGAGUCCUAUCAAAGGCCACGACUCAUCUGAUGAGGAAAUUGUUGGCAUCAUGAAGAAUAUGCUAUUCAACAUCAUGCAUGGCAUCCCUGUCAAUUAUCAUGAUUUCUUCAUGAGGACUCUAGCAAAUGUUGCACUUUCUCCGUUUGAGCUGAAGCCUUAUGCCCCUUAGAUUCCUCAGAACAAGGUCCUCACUCAACUACAAAGCUGACUAUCAGAAUCACCUCAGCUACUUGCCACCGAUUGAAGUCCUCAAGCGGACAUAUUCCUCAGCUGAUGAGAAGGGCAAGGCACCAGCUGUUAUCGAUGAAGGUAUUCGUCCAUUGGAUGGUCAGUUCCGCAAAGCUGCAUCUUAUCCCACCAAUGAUGACUCUGCCACUCAUGAUUCUGCUGCCAAUGCAUCCAAGCCAAAUCCUCAAGCCACUGCUCCUCAUGGGAUGACUGCCGUGAGCUGCUUCUUAGUCUUCACCAGAAGGUGGAUCGAAACCACAAAUGGGUUAAGCGUCAGUUUGGCUCUAUUCUUCACAACAUGACCUCUACACAUAAUGCAGUGAAGAAAAACCAUUACUACCUCCAUGAAGUCUUCGAUCGCACCUGGGCUAUUCUGUCACAUCUCUACAGUGAAGAAGAUCUAAAGCAAAUGGGUUUCACAGAAGAUUUGGACUGGUCUACUCCUCCACUGAAGAAAUACAAGAAGGUCAAGGUUCCUUCCUUGGUAGCCAGUUCAUAUUCUUCAUCACGCGACACGGACGAGUAUGAAGACUUGGACGACACUGCGGCAGGCUCUACAAUGACACAAGACCCCAACAAUGUUGGCGCUCCUCCAUCAUCAUGAUAUUCUUCAGGGGCGUUAGUCCUCAUUUUUCAACCCUUUUGGUCAUUCGAUGACAAAGGGGGAGAAAUUUGAGUUAGUCUUCAAGGGGGUCUAUCUUAUAUGGGCGUUUUUUUUUGCUAAGUUACAACUCUCGUUCUUUUGGUGACUUUGCUGGAUCGAGUUGUAAUCUUAAACUCUAUGUGGCAUGAUACUUUUGAUGAGUUCUUCUGCAUGCUUAUUCCUCAUUAAUGGCAAUGCACGCAUGCUGAAUUACAUCAGUCACCAUAUUUCAUCAUGCAUUUCAAAUUCUUCAUAUUAUAUGUCAAAUGCGCGUAUGAAUUACAAGAUAUAGGGGGAGAUCUCCAUGAUUAUACUCUUCAAGUGUGCAUUGCUUCAAAAGAAAUAUUCGUCACUAUGCACAUCUUCAGGGGGAGUUCUUCUAUAUCUUGCAAUCAAAUUCCUCAAUAUCAGUAUUUACACUUCAUAUGUUUAUCCCCGUUGAAAACUUAACCUAUAUUGUCAUCAAUCACCAAAAAGGGGGAGAUUGUAAGUGCAUCUAGUGCCCCUUAGUGAUUUUGGUGUAUUGAAGACUUAUAGGUUAAGGGACUGAUGCGUUUGUGAGUGUACACAGGUCUAUAAGUCUAUGAGGAGUUUGAUAUUUACAGAGAAAGUCGACCCCUAAAAAUGAAGUUCUUCAACUGAAGACUUUGGAUUUCUAAAGACUUUCUGAAGACUUUGAAAGUGAAGAAAUUAGUGUGACCUUGAAGACUUUGCAAUCAUUCGAGGAACAUGAAGCGUAAGACUUUUGUUUUCGUAGUUUCAUUUUCUCUUUCUUGAGUCAUAGGAAACACCGUACUGUUAAAGGGGGUCGAGGAAAUACUAAGGAAAAAUUUCCAUGUGAUGCUCAACUCAAAAUCCUACACCUACCAAUCCCUUCGAGUGAAGCCAUUGGAAAUCUCAUACAGUUCAGUCAUAUUCUUCAGUGACAGAGACGAAGUUCUUCUGGUCUCUGAGGAAUUUGUUCUGACUGAGGAGUUAGGAAUUCGCCAGUUUGGAUUGCCUACACAGUGAGGAACAUGAUAGCCCUGAGGAAUUUGAGAGUCAAAAUUCCGACCGUUGUUGUGCUAUGCGCCAGCUGUCCCAAAAUAUCUACCCACCUAAUGGUCCUAUCAUUGAAGGGCAUUUAUGUCUUAUCAUGUCGGGCUGCUCCCUAGGCUAUAAAUAGCCGCCCCCUACAACCACUAGCUGGUUGGCUGCUCUGAGAGAAACUGACACUUGUCAUUUGAGAGCAUCCCAUCCUCCGAGGACUUUGAGCGAAAAUCAUCAAGUGAGGAAAACCCAAACCCAACACACCUACAACCCAAAGUGAUUGAGCAUCAUUGAAGAGAUUGAUCAUGCGUGGAUCCGACGCUUGUUACCUUUGAAGAUUGUGCUUCUUCCAGACGGUUAGGUGUCAUGGUCUAGAGCAUCCAAGAGGAAUUGUGGAUCGCCAGGUGACUGAGUUUGUGAAGGUUUGGAAGUCACCUGAAGACUAACACGAGUGAUUGGGCGAGGUCUGUGUGACCUUAGCUCAAGGAGAAUACGAUGAGGACUGUGUGUCUGGGCUGUGUGUCCUCAGGUUUAAAUACCUAGCCGCUCCAACCAGACAUACAACUGAGAUAGCAGUUGGAACUGAUCUACCAAAGCAUUGUCUUCACCAAGCUUACUGGUUCUAUUUCCUCAACUCUUUCAUUUCCUCAUUCAGUUGUUGUGUGCUUGUUCAUAUCUAUUUGAAGACUUUGACUGAAGAGUUUCUCAAUUUCCUCAAUUCAAUUUCUUUAGUCUGUCCAUCUUCAUCCUGUGCUAUCCUGUGUUUACACUUUAUGUACUCUGUGCUUGUCUUCAUUUCAUCAUGAUGACUAUGCUAGUGUUCUGUUAUGUUUACUUCUAAGUACUUAUUCCGCUGCAAGUAGUUCUUCACUAAGGAAUUUCCUCACCAGCAAAUUCCUCAGUGAAGAAUUCAUAAAAAUCGCCUAUUCACCCCCCCCCCUCUAGUCGAUAUAACGCACUUUCACGGUAAGAAUUCAUUAUAUAAUCUCCCGAAGGUUUUGACCACCAUAUCACACAAAUAUCCUCUGUUUUUGCUUCGAGCUGUUUCUGCCGCAGAUUAGAGCAACAUGUCGUCCCAGGAUUCGGAGGGAGAAAGCUAUGUGGUUGAUUACCUUGCAGACCCUAAGGUCUAUGGGGACUUGGAGCACUAUGGUUGGACCACUGACGAAGAAGAAGACUACGAGCCUAAGGGAAAGGAGGAGACGAUCUCAGAUGAAGAUGAAGUCCCAUUACCUCAACCUGGGGAUAUGCAUGUGGAGUUUAAAAAGUCAAGCCUCCUUGAUAGGGCAAAGAAACCAAAGAUCGAGUUUAUCCCUUUUCGUCUCUUGCAGGAGAACAAACAGGAACUAUGCACAAGGAUAUUAAGCCUUGAGCAGCAGAUCGAUGAUCUAAGGGAGCAAAAUUCCAUCCUCAAGCGCAAAUUAAGGAAGAAGCUUACAUCAUCAACAACUCCAUCAUCACCACCUCCGAAGAAGGAGACAUAAACACAUAGGUAUGGGCACUCCCCUUGGCAACUGCCAAGCUUGGGGGAGGUGCCCCGGUAUCGUAUCACCAUCACACUCCUAUCUUUACCGUUUUUCUUAGUUCGUUCCUUUUAGUAAUAUCUUGAUCUAGUAGAAUAAAGUUUUAGUAUGAUUUAGUUUUGAGUUUUGCUUUAUGAUCUUGCUAUGUAAUCGAGUAUGUGAGCUAUAUAUAAUAAAGAUUAGUGUUGAGUCUGAUAGGAAUAUGCAACUUGUAUUCCCAGGUGGCCAUAGGCCAGUAUAUAUACAUGUACAGGUGUAGAAUAUAUGCAGGAAACCGCUUAUACAAUAGGGUAAAUACGAAAGGUUACAUGGCUAUAUAUAUAACUCUAACACCCACCCCCCCCCCUCAAACUCAUAGUGGAUUAACAACACUGAGUUUGGAGAGAUGGAAGCCAUGCUGCGUGUUGGGGAAUGUAGCAAUUUCAAAAAGAUUCCUACGCACACGCAAGAUCAUGGUGAUGCAUAGCAACGAGAGGGGAGAGUGUUGUCCACAUACCCUCGUACACCGAAAGAGGAAGCGUUAGAACAAUGCGGUUGAUGUAGUCAUACGUCUUCAUGGCCCGACCGAUCAAGCACCGAAACUACGGCACCUCCGAGUUUUAGCACAUGUUCAGCUCGAUGACGAUCCUCGUACUCCGAUCCAGCAGAAUGUUGGGGAAGAGUUCCGUCAGCACGACGGUGUGGUGACGACCUUGAUGUUCUACCGUCGCAGGGCUUCACCUAAGCACCGCUACAAUAUUAUCGAGGAGGACUAUGGUGGAGGGGGGCACCGCACACGGUUAAGAGAUCAAGAGAUCAAUUGUUGUGUCUAGAGGUGCCCCCCUGCCCCCAUAUAUAAAGGAGCAAGGGGGAGGGGGUCGGCUGGCCAGGAGGGGGGCGCCAGGAGGAGUCCUACUCCCACUGGGAGUAGGACUCCNNNNNNNNNNNNNNNNNNNNNNNNNNNNNNNNNNNNNNNNNNNNNNNNNNNNNNNNNNNNNNNNNNNNNNNNNNNNNNNNNNNNNNNNNNNNNNNNNNNNNNNNNNNNNNNNNNNNNNNNNNNNNNNNNNNNNNNNNNNNNNNNNNNNNNNNNNNNNNNNNNNNNNNNNNNNNNNNNNNNNNNNNNNNNNNNNNNNNNNNNNNNNNNNNNNNNNNNNNNNNNNNNNNNNNNNNNNNNNNNNNNNNNNNNNNNNNNNNNNNNNNNNNNNNNNNNNNNNNNNNNNNNNNNNNNNNNNNNNNNNNNNNNNNNNNNNNNNNNNNNNNNNNNNNNNNNNNNNNNNNNNNNNNNNNNNNNNNNNNNNNNNNNNNNNNNNNNNCUUAUUCCGGUGUCCGAAUAUAGUCGUCCAAUAUACCAAUCUUCAUGUCUCGACCAUUUCGAGACUCCUCGUCAUGUCCGUAAUCACAUUUGGGACUCCGAACAAACUUCGGUACAUCAAAAUUCAUAAACUCAUAAUAUAACUAUCAUCGAAACCUUAAGCGUGCAGACCCUACGGGUUCGAGAACUAUGUAGACAUGACCAAGAACCGUUUCCGAUCAAUAACCAAUAGCGGAACCUGGAUGCUCAUAUUGGCUCCUACAUAUUCUACGAAGAUCUUUAUCAGUCAAACCGCAUAACAACAUACGUUGUUCCCUUUGUCAUCGGUAUGUUACUUGCCUGAGAUUUGAUCGUCGGUAUCUCAAUACCUAGUUCAAUCUCGUUACUGGCAAGUCUCUUUACUCAUUACGUAAUGCAUCAUUCCGUAACUAACUCAUUAGCUACAUUGCUUGCAAGGCUUAUAGUGAUGUGCAUUACCGAGAGGGCCCAAAGAUACCUCUCCGACAAUCGGAGUGACAAAACCAAAUCUCGAAAUACGCCAACCCAACAUGUACCUUUGGAGACACCUGUAGAGCUCCUUUAUAAUCACCCAGUUACGUUGUGACGUUUGGUAGCACACAAAGUGUUCCUUCGGUAAACGGGAGUUGCAUAAUCUCAUAGUCACAGGAACAUGUAUAAGUCAUGAAGAAAGCAGUAGCAACAUACUAAACGAUCAAGUGCUAAGCUAAUGGAAUGGGUCAAGUCAAUCACAUCAUUCUCCUAAUGAUGUGAUCUUGUUCAAACAGAUGACAACUCAUGUCUAUGGCUAGGAAACUUAACCAUCUUCGAUUCACGAGCUUGUCAAGUAGAGGCAUACUAGUGACACUAAGUUUGUCUAUGUAUUCACACAUGUAUUAUGUUUCCGGUUAAUACAAUUCUAGCAUGAAUAAUAAAAAUUUAUCAUGAAAUGAGGAAAUAAAUAAUAACUUUAUUAUUGCCUCUAGGGCAUAUUUCCUUCAGUCUCCCACUUGCACUAGAGUCAAUAAUCUAGUUCACAUCACCAUGUGAUUUAACACUAAUAUUCACAUCUGCAUGUGAUUAACACACAUAGUUCACAUCGUCAUGUGACCAGCGCCCAAAAGGGUUUACUAGAGUCAAUAAUCUAGUUCACAUCGAUAUGUGAUUAACACCCAAAGAGUACUAAGGUGUGAUCAUGUUUUGCUCAUGAGAGAAGUUUAGUCAAUGGGUCUGUCACAUUCAGAGCCGUAUGUAUUUUGCAAAUAUUUUAUGUCUACAAUGCUCUGCACGGAGCUACUCUAGCUAAUUGCUCCCACUUUCAAUAUGUAUCCAGAUUGAGAUUUAGAGUCAUCUGGAUUAGUGUAAAAGCUUGUAUCGAUGUAACUCUUUACGACGAACUCUUUUAUCACCUCCAUAAUCGAGAAACAUCUCCUUAGUCCUCACUAAGGAUAUUCUUGACCGUUGUCCAGUGAUCUACUAUUAGAUCAAAAUUGUAUUCCUUUGCCAAACUCAGAGCAAGGUAUACAAUAUGUCUGGUACACAUCAUAGCAUACUUUAUAGAACCUAUGACUGAGGCAUAGGGAAUGACUUUUCAUUCUUUUUCUAUUUUCUGCCAUGGUUGGGUUUUGAGUCUUACUCAAUUUCAUACCUUUGCAACACAGGCAAGAACUCUUUCUUCGACUGUUCCAUUUUGAACUACUUCAAAAUCUUGUCAACGUAUGUACUCAUUGAAAAUCUUAUCAAGCGUCUUGAUCUAUCUCAAUAGAUCUUGAUGCUCAAUAUGUAAGUAGCUUUACUAAGGUCUUUCUUUGAAAAACUCCUUUCAAACACUCCUUUAUGCUUUCCAGAAAGUUCUACAUUAUUUUUGAUCAAAAAUAUGUCAUUCACAUAUACUUAUCAGAAAGGCUGUAGUGCUCCUACUCACUUUCUUGUAAAUACAGGCCUUUCCAAAAGUCUGCAUAAAACCAUAUGCUUUGAUCAACUCAUCAAAGCGUAUAUUCCAACUCCGAGAUGCUUGCACCAGUCCAUUGAUGGAUUGCUGGAGCUUGCACACUUUGUUGGCACCUUUAGGAUUGACAAAACCUUCUCGUUGUAUCAUAUACAGCUCUUCUUUAAUAAAUCCAUUAAGGAAUUCAGUUUUGAUAUCCAUUUGCCAGAUUUCAUAAAAUGUGGCAAUUGCUAACAUGAUUCAGACAGACUUAAGCAUCGAUAUGAGUGAUAAAAUCUCAUCGUAUUCAACACCUUGAACUUGUCGAAAAAACUUUUUACGACAAGUCGAGCUUUGUAGAUAGUAACACUACUAUCAGCGUCUGUCUUCCUCUUGAAGAUCUAUUUAUUUUCUAUGGCUUGCCGAUCAUCGGGCAAGACAACCAAAGUCCACACUUUGUUCUCAUACAUGGAUUCCAUCUCAGAUUUCAUGGCCUCAAGCCAUUUCGCGGAAUCUGGGCUCAUCAUCGCUUCCUCAUAGUUCGUAGGUUCAUCAUGGUCUAGUUACACGACUUCCAGAAUAGGAUUACCGUACCACUCUGGUGCGGAUCUUAUUCUGGUUGACCUACGCGGUUCGGUAGUAACUUGAUCUGAAGUUUCAUGAUCAAUAUCAUUAGCUUCCUCACUAAUUGGUGUAGUGGUCACUGGAACUGAUUUUUGUGAUGAACUACUUUCCAAUUCGGGAGAAGGUACAAUUACCUUAUCAAGCUCUACUUUCCUCCCACUCACUUCUUUCGAGAGAAACUCCUUCUCUAGAAAGGAUCCAUCUUAGCAACGAAUAUUUUGCUUUUGGAUCUGUGAUAGAAGGUGUACCCAACAAUUUCCUUUGGGUAUUCUAUGAAGACGCAUGCCAAACCACAGUUCAUAAGCCGUCGUCUCAAUGGAUUUUGAUGGUGCCCUAUUUAAAGUGAAUGCAACUGUCUCUAAUGCAUAAACCCAAAACGCUAGUGGUAAACCGAUAAGAGACAUCAUAGGUCGCACAAUAUCCAAUAAAGUGCGGUUAUGAUGUUCGGACACACCAUAACGUUGUGGUGUUCCGGGUGGUGUGAACUGUGAAACUAUUCCAUAUUGUUUUAUAUGAAGGCCAAACUCGUAACUCAAAUAUUCUCCUCCACGAUCAGAUCGUAGAAACUUUAUUUUCUUGUUACGAUGAUUCUCCACUUCACUCUGAAAUUCUUUGAACUUUUCAAAUGUUUUAGACUUGUGUUUUAUUAAGUAGAUAUACACAUAUCUGCUCAAAUCAUCUUGUGAAGGUCUGAAAAUAACAAUACCCGCCACGAGCAUCAAUACUCAUUGGACCGCAUACAUCAGUAUGUACUAUUUCCAAUAAGUCACUAGCUCGUUCCAUUGUUCCGGAGAACGGAGUUUUAGUCAUCUUGCCCAAAAGGCACGGUUCGCAAGCAUCAAAUGAUUCAUAACCAAGUGAUUCCAAAAAUCCAUCUUUAUGGAGUUUCUUCAUGCGCUUUACACCGAUAUGACCCAAACGGCAGUGCCACAAAUAAGUUGCACUAUCAUUAUAAACUUUGCAUCUUUUUGGCAUCAAUAUUAUGAAUAUGUGUAUCACUACGAUUGAGAUACAAUAAACUAUUUUCAUUGGGUGUAUGACCAUCGAAGGUUUUAUUCAUGUAAACAGAACAACAAUUAUUCUCUGACUUUAAAUGAAUAACCGUAUUGCAACAAACAUGAUCAAACGCCAAAUAACAUUUAUUUAGGUUUAACACUAAUCCCGAAAGUAUAGGGAGUGUGUGAUGAUGAUCAUAUCAAUCUUGGAACUACUUCCAGCACUCAUCAUCACUUCACCCUCAACUAGUCUUUGUUUACUCUGUAGCUCAUGUUUCGAGUUACUAGUUUUUAGCAACUGAACAAGUAUCAAAUACUCAGGGGCUACUAUAAACACUAGUAAGGUACACAUCAAUAACCUGUAUAUCAAAUAUACCCUUGCUCACUUUGCCAUCCUUCUUAUCCACCAAAUAUUCAGGGCAUUUCUGCUUCCAGUGACCAUUUCCUUUGUAGUGUAAGCACUCAGUUUCAGGCUUUGGUCCAGCUUUGGGCUUCUUCGCGGGAGUGACAACUUGCUUGUCAUUAUACUUGAAGUUUCCUUUCUUUCCCUUUGCCCUUUUCUUGAAACUAGUGAUCUUGUCAAUCAUCAACACUUGAUGCUCUUUCUUGAUUUCUACCUUCGUUGAUUUCAACAUCACAAAGAGCUCGGGAAUCGUUUUCUUCAUCCCUUGCAUACUAUAGUUCAUCAUGAAGUUCUCGCAACUUGGUGAUGGUGACUAGAGAACUCUGUCAAUCACUAUCUUAUCUGGAAGAUUAACUCCCACUUGAUUCAAGCGAUUGUAGUACCCAGACAAUCUGAGCACAUGCUCACUGCUUGAGCUAUUCUCCUCCAUCUUUUAGCUAUAGAACUUGUUGGAGACUUCAUAUCUCUCAACUCGGGUAUUUGCUUGAAAUAUUAACUUCAACUCUUGGAACAUCUCAUAUGUUCCAUGACGUUCAAAAUGUCUUUGAAGUCUCGAUUCUAAGCCGUUAAGCAUAGUGCACUAAACUAUUAAGUAGUCAUCAUAUUGAACUAGCCAAACAUUCAUAACGUCUGCAUCUGCUCCUGCAAUAGGUCUAUCACCUAGCGGUGCAUUAAGGACAUAAUUCUUCUGUGCAGCAAUGAGGAUAAACCUUAGAUCACGGAUCCAAUCCGCAUCAUUGCUACUAACAUCUUUCAACACAAUUUUCUCUAGGAACAUAUCAAAAUAAACAUAUGAAAGCAACAAUGCAAGCUAUUGAUCUACAACAUAAUUUGCAAAAUACUACCAGGACUAAGUUCAUGAUAAAUUUAAGUUCAAUUAAUCAUAUUACUUAAGAACUCCCACUUAGACAAACAUAUCUCUAGUCAUCUAAGUGAUCACGUGAUCCAAAUCAACUAAACCAUGUCCGAUCAUCACGUGAGAUGGAGUAGUUUUCAAUGGUGAACAUCACUAUGUUGAUCAUAUCUACUAUAUGAUUCACGCUCGACCUUUCGGUCUCCGUGUUCCGAGGCCAUAUCUGUAUAUGCUAGGCUCGUCAAGUUUAACCUGAGUAUUCCGCGUGUGCAACUGUUUUGCACCCGUUGUAUUUGAACGUAGAGCCUAUCACACCCGAUCAUCACGUGGUUUCUCGGCAUGAAGAACUUUAGCAACGGUGCAUAUUCAGGGAGAACACUUCUUGAUAAUUAGUGAGAGAUCAUCUUAAAAUGCUACUGUCAAUCAAAGCAAGAUAAGAUGCAUAAAGGAUAAACAUCACAUGCAAUCAAUAUAAGUGAUAUGAUAUGGCCAUCAUCAUAUUGUGCUUGUGAUCUCCAUCUCUGAAGCAUCGUUGUGAUCACCAUCGUCACCGGUGCGACACCUUAAUCUCCAUCGUACCAUCAUUGUCAUUACGCCAUCUAUUGCUUCUACGACUAUCGCUACCGCUUAGUGAUAAAGUAAAGCAAUUAUAGGGCGUUUGCAUUUCAUACAAUAAAGCGACAACCAUAUGGCUCCUGCCAGUUGCCGAUAAAUCGGUUACAAAACAUGAUCAUCUCAUACAAUAAAAUAUAGCAUCACGUCUUGACCAUAUCACAUCACAACAUGCCAUGCAAAAACAAGUUAGACGUCCUCUACUUUGUUGUUGCAAAUUUUACGUGGCUGCUAUGGGCUGAGCAAGAGCCGUUCUUACCUACACAUCAAAACCACAACGAUAGUUCGUCAAGUUAGUGUUGUUUUAACCUUCGCAAGGACCGGGCGUAGCCACACUCGGUUCGACUAAAGUUGGAGAAACAGACACCCGCCAGCCACCUAUGUGCAAAGCACAUCGGUAGAACCAGUCUUGCGUAAGCGUACGCGUAAUGUCGGUCCGGGCCGCUUCAUCCAACAAUACCGCCAAACCAAAGUAUGACAUGCUGGUAAGCAGUAUGACUUGUAUCGCCCACAACUCACUUGUGUUCUACUUGUGAAUAUAACAUCUACGCAUAAAACCUGGCUCGGAUGCCACUGUUGGGGAACAUAGUAAUUUCAAAAAAAAUCGUACGCACACGCAAGAUCAUGGUGAUGCAUAGCAAUGAGAGGGGAGAGUGUUGUCCAUGUACCCUCAUAGACUGAAAGCGGAAGCGUUAGAACAACGCGGUUGAUGUAGUCGUACGUCUUCACGGCCCGACCGAUCAAGCACCGAAACUACGACACCUCCAAGUUUUAGCACACGUUCAGCUCGAUGACGAUCCCCGUACUCCGAUCCAGCAGAAUGUCAGGGAAGAGUUCCGUCAGCACGACAGCAUGGUGACGACCUUGAUGUUCUACCGUCGCAGGGCUUCGCCUAAGCACCGCUACAAUAUUAUCGAGGAGGACUAUGGUGGAGGGGGGCACUGCACACGGUUAAGAGAUCAAGAGAUCAAUUGUUGUGUCUAGAGGUGCCCCCCUGCCCCUGUAUGUAAAGGAGCAAGGGGGAGGGGGUCGGUCGGCCAGGAGGGGCGCGCCAGGAGGAGUCCUACUCCCACCGGGAGUAGGACUUCCCCCCUUCCUUGUCCAAGUAGGAGAGGGGGAAGGAAGGGAGAGAGGGGAGGAAGGAAAGGGGGGGCGCCCCCCCCCCCCUCCUUGUCCAAUUCGGACUAGAGGGGGAGGGGGCGCGCGGCCUGCCCUGGCCGCCGCUCCUCUUCUCCACUUUGGGCCCAAGUGGCCCAUUAACCCCCCCUGGGGGUUCCGGUAACCCCCCCGGUACUUCGUUAUAUAUCCGAUAACCUCCGAAACUUAUUCUGGUGUCCGAAUAUAGUCGUCCAAUAUACCAAUCUUCAUGUCUCGACCAUUUCGAGACUCCUCGUCAUGUCCGUAAUCACAUUCAGGACUCCGAACAAACUUCGGUACAUCAAAACUCAUAAACUCAUAAUAUAACUGUCAUCGAAACCUUAAGCGUGCGGACCCUACGGGUUCGAGAACUAUGUAGACAUUACCGAGAACCGUUUCCGGUCAAUAACCAAUAGAGGAACCUGGAUUCUCAUAUUGGCUCCUACAUAUUCUACGAAUAUCUUUAUCGAUCAAACCGCAUAACAACAUAUGUUGUUCCCUUUGUCAUCGGUAUGUUAUUUGCCUGAGAUUUGAUCGUCGGUAUCUCCAUACCUAGUUCAAUCUCGUUACUGGCAAGUCUCUUUACUCGUUACGUAAUGCAUUAUUCCGUAACUAACUCAUUAGCUACAUUGCUUGCAAGGCUUAUAGUGAUGUGCAUUACCGAGAGGGCCCAGAGAUACCUCUCCGACAAUCGAAGUGACAAAACCUAAUCUCGAAAUACGCCAACCCAACAUGUACCUUUGGAGACACCUGUAGAGCUCCUUUAUAAUCACCCAGUUACGUUGUGACGUUUGGUAGCACACAAAGUGUUCCUCCGAUAAACGGGAGUUGCAUAAUCUCAUAGUCAUAGGAACAUGUAUAAGUCAUGAAGAAAGUAGUAGCAACAUACUAAACGAUCAAGUGCUAAGCUAACGGAAUGGGUCAAGUCAAUCACAUCAUUCUCCUAAUGAUGUGAUCCCGUUCAUCAAAUGACAACUCAUGUCUAUGGCUAGGAAACUUAACCAUCUUUGAUUCACGAGCUAGUCAAGUAGAGGCAUACUAGUGACACUAAGUUUGUCUAUGUAUUCACACAUGUAUUAUGUUUCCGGUUAAUACAAUUCUAGCAUGAAUAAUAAACAUUUAUCAUGAAAUAAGGAAAUAAAUAAUAACUUUAUUAUUGCCUCUAGGGCAUAUUUCCUUCACUGCGCUCUAGUCUGGGCCUUCGUUAGAAAAUCCGCCAACUGUAACUCGGAAGGCACAUACUGAAGAGCAAUAACCUGAUCCUGCACACCAGCGCGCACAUAGAAAGCAUCAACACCAAUAUGCUUGGUGAGCUCAUGCUUCACAGGAUCGCGUGCAAUGCUAAUAACAUUUGUACUGUCAGACAAGAGUGGAGUAGGUGUAGUAACAGAAACACCAAAAUCCUGAAGUAACCACCGUAACCAAGUCACCUCUGUCGUGAAAAGAGCCAUAGCUCGUAGCUCAGCCUCUGCACUCGAACGGGAAAUUGCAGUCCUUUCUUCGUCUUCCAAGCAAUGAGAGAACCACCAAGAAAAACACAAUAAGCAGAAAGUGAAUGGUGAUCGGAGGGAUCACUAGCCCACGUAGCAUCCGAAUAGGCCUGAAGUUGUAAAUAACUGGAGCGAGGAAAGAAUAGACGGUGAGAGAUCGUGCCCCGAAGAUAUUGGAGAACACGAAGGAGGUGACUAUAGUGGACCAAAGUGGGAGCGAAGACAAACUGACUCAGAAUAUGAACCGGAUAAGAGAUAUCCGGACGAGUGACAACUAGAUAGACAAGAUUCCCAACAAGAUGACGAUAACGCGUCGGGUCAGGCAAGGGGUCACCAUCUGUUGGGGAAUGUUGCAGAAAAUUAAAAUUUUUCCUACGGUUUCACCAAGAUCCAUCUAUGAGUUCAUCUAAGCAACGAGUCGAGGGAGUGAGUUUGCAUCUACAUACCACUUGUAGAUCGCGUGCGGAAGCUUGCAAGGUGAUGAUGGAGUUGUACUCGAACGUGAUUCGAAUCACCGAUGACCAAGUUCUGAACGGACAGCACCUCCGCGUUCAACACACGUACGGGACGGGAGACGUCUCCUCCUUCUUGAUCCAGCAAGGGGAAAGGAGAGGUUGAGGAAGAUAGCUCCACCGGCAGCACGACGGCGUGGUGAUGGUGGAGAGGCAGUACUCCGACAGGGCUUCGCCAAGCACACAACGGAGGAGGAGAGGUGUUGGGGAGGGGAGGGCUGCGCCUUGGAGGGUGGUGCGGCUGCCCUCCCCUCACCCCUCUAUUUAUAGGGGGAAGGGAGAAGGGGGCCGGCCCCCUAGAACCCAUCUAGGGGGGUGCGGCGGCCAAGGGGAGAGGGGGAGAGGGUGGCUUGCCCCCCAAGCCAAGGGGGCGCCCCCUCUAGGGUUCCCCCCUCAACCCUAGGCGCAAGGGCCCAAGGGAGGGGGUGCGGCCAGCCCACCAGGGGCUGGCUCCCUGCCCCACGCAGCCCAUGUGGCCCCCCGGGAGGGGUGGCCCCUCCCGGUGGACCCCCGGAACCCUUCCGGUGGCCCCGGUACAAUACCGGUAUGACCCCGAAACUUCCCGGUGUCCGUUUGACAACUUCCCUUAUAUAAAUCUUUACCUCCGGACCCUUCCGGAGCUCCUCGUGACGUCCAGGAUCCCAUCCGGGACUCCGAACAACAUUCGGUAGUCACAUACUAGUCUUCCUAAUAACCCUAGCGUCACCGAACCUUAAGUGUGUAGACCCUACGGGUUCGGGAGACAUGCAGACAUGACCGAGACGCUCUCAGGUCAAUAACCAACAGUGGGAUCUGGAUACCCAUGAUGGCUCCCACAUGCUCCUCGAUGUUGUCAUCGGAUGAACCACGAUGUCGAGGAUUCGAUCAAACCCUAUAUGCAAUUCCCUUUGUCAAUCGGUAUGUUACUUUCCCGAGACUCGAUCGUCGGUAUCCCAAUACCUUGUUCAGUCUCGUUACCGGCAAGUCACUUUACUCGUACCGUAAUGCAUGAUCCCGUGUCCAACACCUUGGUCACAUUGAGCUCAUAAUGAUGAUGCAUUACCGAGUGGGCCCAGAGAUACCUCUCCAUCAUACGGAGUGACAAAUCCCAGUCUCGAUCCGUGUCAACCCAACAGAUACUUUCGGAGAUACCUGUAAUGCACCUUUAUAGUCACCCAGUUACGUUGUGACGUUUGAUACACCCAAGGCACUCUUACGGUAUCCGGGAGUUACACGAUCUCAUGGUCGAAGGAAGAAAUACUUGACAUUGGCAAAGCUCUAGCAAAACGAACUACACGAUCUUUUAUGCUAUGCUUAGGAUUGGGUCUUGUCCAUCACAUCAUUCUCCUAAUGAUGUGAUCCCGUUAUCAACGACAUCCAAUGUCCAUAGUCAGGAAACCAUGACUAUCUGUUGAUCACAACGAGCUAGUCAACUAGAGGCUCACCAGGGACAUAUUGUGGUCUAAGUAUUCACACGUGUAUUACGAUUUCCGGAUAAUACAGUUAUAGCAUGAAUAAAAGACAUUUAUCAUGAACAUUGAAAUAUAAUAAUACUUUUAUUAUUGCCUCUAGGGCAUAUUUCCAACAGUCUCCCACUUGCACUAGAGUCACUAAUCUAGUUACAUUGUGAUGAAUCGAACACCCAUAGAGUUCUGGUGUUGAUCAUGUUUUGCACGCGAGGGAGGUUUAGUCAGCGGAUCUGCGACAUUCAGAUCCGUGUGCACUUUGCAAAUCUCUAUGUCUCCAUCUUGAACAUUUUCACGGAUGGAGUUGAAACGACGCUUGAUGUGCCUGGUCUUCUUGUGAAACCUGGGCUCCUUGGCGAGGGCAAUAGCUCCAGUGUUGUCACAGAAGAGUUUGAUCGGCCCCGACACAUUGGGUAUGACUCCUAGGUCGGUGAUGAACUCCUUCACCCAAAUCGCUUCAUGCGCUGCCUCCGAGGCUGCCAUGUACUCCGCUUCACAUGUAGAUCCCGCCACGAUGCUCUGCUUGCAGCUGCACCAGCUUACUGCUCCACCAUUCAACAUAUACACGUAUCCGGUUUGUGACUUAGAGUCAUCCAGAUCUGAGUCGAAGCUAGCGUCGACGUAACCCUUUACGAUGAGCUCUUCGUCUCCUCCAUAAACGAGAAACAUGUCCUUCGUCCUUUUCAAGUACUUCAGGAUAUUCUUGACCGCUGUCCAGUGUUCCUUGCCGGGAUUACCUUGGUAUCUUGCUACCAAACUUACGGCAAGGUUUACAUCGGGUCUGGUACACAACAUGGCAUACAUAAUAGAUCCUAUGGCUGAAGCAUAGGGGAUGACACUCAUCUCUUCUUUAUCUUUUGCCGUGGUCGGUGACUAAGCCGAGCUCAGUCUCACACCUUGUAACAUAGGCAAGAACCCCUUCUUGGACUGAUCCAUUUUGAACCUCUUCAAAAUCUUAUCAAGGUAUGUGCUUUGUGAAAGACCUAUGAGGCGUCUCGAUCUAUCUCUAUAGAUCUUGAUGCCUAAUAUGUAAGCAGCUUCUCCAAGGUCCUUCAUUGAAAAACACUUAUUCAAGUAGGCCUUAAUGCUGUCCAGAAAUUCUAUAUUAUUUCCCAUCAAGAGUAUGUCAUCUACAUAUAAUAUGAGAAAUGCUACAGAGCUCCCACUCACUUUCUUGUAAACGCAGGCUUCUCCAUAAGUCUGCAUAAACCCAAAUGCUUUGAUCAUCUCAUCAAAGCGAAUGUUCCAACUCCGAGAUGCUUGCACCAGUCCAUAAAUGGAUCGCUGGAGCUUGCAUACUUUGUUAGCAUUCCGAGGAUCGACAAAACCUUCCGGCUGCAUCAUAUACAACUCUUCCUUAAGAUGCCCGUUAAGGAAUGCCGUUUUGACGUCCAUCUGCCAUAUCUCAUAAUCAUAGUAUGCGGCAAUUGCUAACAUGAUUCGGACGGACUUCAGCUUCGCUACGGGAGAGAAAGUCUCGUCGUAGUCAAUCCCUUGAACUUGUCGAUAACCCUUAGCGACAAGUCGAGCCUUAUAGAUGGUAACAUUGCCAUCCGCGUCCGUCUUCUUCUUAAAAAUCCAUUUGUUUUCUAUCGCUCGCCGAUCAUCGGGCAAGUCUGUCAAAGUCCAUACUUUGUUUUCAUACAUGGAUUCUAUCUCAGAUUUCAUGGCUUCAAGCCAUUUGUUGGAAUCCGGGCCCGCCAUCGCUUCUUCAUAGUUCGAAGGUUCAUUGUUGUCUAACAACAUGAUUUCCAGGACAGGGUUGCCGUACCACUCUGGUGCGGAACGUGUCCUUGUGGACCUGCGAAGUUUAGUAGCAACUUGAUCCGAAGUACCUUGAUCAUCAUCAUUGUUUUCCUCUUCAGUUGGUGUGGGCAUCACAGGAACGGUUUCCUGCGCUGCGCCACUUUCCCGCUCAAGAGGUAGUACUUCAUCGAGUUCUACUUUCCUCCCACUUACUUCUUUCGAGAGAAACUCUUUUUCCAGAAAGCAUCCGUUCUUGGCAACAAAGAUCUUGCCUUCGGAUCUUAAGUAGAAGGUAUACCCGACAGUUUCCUUAGGGUAUCCUAUGAAUACGCAUUUUUCCGACUUGGGUUCGAGCUUUUCAGGUUGAAGUUUCUUGACAUAAGCAUCGCAUCCCCAAACUUUUAGAAAUGACAGCUUAGGUUUCUUUCCAAACCAUAAUUCAUACGGUGUCGUCUCAACGGAUUUAGACGGUGCCCUAUUUAAAGUGAAUGUAGCUGUCUCUAGAGCGUAUCCCCAAAAUGAUAGCGGUAAAUCGGUAAGAGACAUCAUCGACCGCACCAUAUCCAAUAGAGUGCGAUUACGACGUUCGGACACACCGUUUCGCUGAGGUGUUCCAGGCGGCGUGAGUUGUGAAACGAUUCCACAUUUCCUUAAGUGUGUACCAAAUUCGUGACUUAAGUAUUCUCCUCCACGAUCUGAUCGUAAGAAUUUUAUCUUUCGGUCACGUUGAUUCUCUACCUCAUUCUGAAAUUCCUUGAACUUUUCAAAGGUCUCAGACUUGUGUUUCAUUAAGUAGACAUACCCAUAUCUACUCAAGUCAUCAGUGAGAGUGAGAACAUAACGAUAUCCUCCGCGAGCCUCAACGCUCAUUGGACCGCACACAUCGGUAUGUAUGAUUUCCAACAAGUUGGUUGCUCGCUCCAUUGUUCCGGAGAACGGAGUCUUGGUCAUUUCGCCCAAGAGGCAUGGUUUGCAUGUGUCAAAUGAUUCAUAAUCAAGAGACUCCAAAAGUCCAUCAGCAUGGAGCUUCUUCAUGCGCUUGACACCAAUGUGAGCAAGGCGGCAGUGCCACAAGUAUGUGGGACUAUCGUUAUCAACUUUACAUCUUUUGGCAUCUACACUAUGAACAUGUGUAAUAUUACGCUCGAGAUUCAUUAAGAAUAAACCAUUGACCAUCGGAGCAUGACCAUAAAACAUAUCUCUCAUAUAAAUCAAACAACCAUUAUUCUCAGACUUAAAUGAGUAGCCAUCUCGUAUUAAACGAGAUCCAGAUACAAUGUUCAUGCUCAAACUUGGCACUAAAUAACAAUUAUUAAGGUUCAAAACUAAUCCCGUAGGUAAAUGUAGAGGCAGCAUGCCGACGGCGAUCACAUCGACUCUGGAACCAUUCCCGACGCGCAUAGUCACCUCGUCCUUCGCCAGUCUCCGUUUAUUCCGCAGCUCCUGCUGUGAGUUACAAAUAUGAGCAACGGCACCGGUAUCAAAUACCCAGGAGUUACUACGAGUACUGGUAAGGUACACAUCAAUCACAUGUAUAUCAAAUACCUUUGGUGUUGCCGGCCUUCUUAUCCGCUAAGUAUUUGGGGCAGUUCCGCUUCCAGUGACCCUUCCCCUUGCAAUAAAAGCACUCAGUCUCAGGCUUGGGUCCAUUCUUUGACUUCUUCCCGGUAACUGGCUUACCAGGCGCGGCAACCUCCUUGCCGUCCUUCUUGAAGUUCUUCUUACCCUUGCCCUUCUUGAACUUAGUGGUCUUAUUGACCAUCAACACUUGAUGUUCUUUCUUGAUUUCAGCCUCUGCUGACUUCAGCAUCGAGAACACUUCAGGAAUGGUCUUUUCCAUCCCCUGCAUGUUGUAGUUCAUCACAAAGCUCUUGUAGCUUGGUGGGAGCGACUGGAGGAUUCUGUCAAUGACCGCCUCAUCUGGGAGGUUAAUGUUCAGCUGGGUCAUACGGUUGUGCAACCCAGACAUCUUCAGGAUGUGCUCACUGACAGAACUGUUUUCCUCCAUCUUACAACUGUAGAACUUGUCGGAGACAUCAUAUCUCUCGACCCGGGCAUGAGCUUGGAAAACUAGUUUCAGCUCUUCGAACAUCUCAUAUGCUCCAUGAUGCUCAAAACGCUUUUGGAGCCCCGGUUCUAAGCUGUAAAGCAUGCCGCACUGAACGAGGGAGUAAUCAUCAGCGCGAGUUUGCCAAGCAUUCAUAAUGUCUUGGUUCUCUGGGACGGGAGCGUCACCUAGCGGUCCUUCUAGGACAUAUUGUUUCCUGGCAGCUAUGAGGAUGAUCCUCAGGUUCCGGACCCAGUCCGUAUAGUUGCUGCCAUCAUCUUUCAGCUUGGUUUUCUCUAGGAACGCGUUGAAGUUCAUGUUGACAUUAGCGUUGGCCAUUGAUCUACAAGACAUAUUUGCAAAGUUUUUAGACUAUGUUCAUGAUAAUAAAGUUCUAAUCAAAUUAUGAACUCCCACUUAGAUUAGACAUCCCUUUAGUCAUCUAAGUGUUACACGAUCCGAGUCGACUAGCCCGUGUCCGAUCAUCACGUGAGACGGACUAGUCAUCGUCGGUGAACAUUUUCAUGUUGAUCGUAUCUUCUAUACGAUUCGUGUUCGACCUUUCGGUCUCCGUGUUCCGAGGCCAUGUCUGCACAUGCUAGGCUCGUCAAGUUAACCCUAAGUGUUUUCGCUGUGUAAAACUGUCUUACACCCGUUGUAUGUGAACGUAAGAAUCCAUCACACCCGAUCAUCACGUGGUGCUUAGAAACGACGAACUGUAGCAACGGUGCACAGUUAGGGGAGAACACUUCUUGAAAUUUUAUAAGGGAUCAUCUUAUUUACUACCGUCGUCCUAAGUAAACAAGAUGCAUAAUACAUAAUAAACAUCACAUGCAAUUAUAGUUGUGACAUGAUAUGGCCAAUAUCAUAUAGCUCCAUUGAUCUUCAUCUUCGGGGCUCCAUGAUCAUCUUGUCACCGGCUUGACACCAUGAUCUCCAUCAUCAUGAUCUCCAUCAUCGUGUCUUCAUGAAGUUGUCACGCCAACGACUACUUCUACUUCUAUGACUAACGUUUAGCAAUAAAGUAAAGUAGUUUACAUGACGUUAUUCAAUGACACGCAGGUCAUACAAAAAAUAAAGACAACUCCUAUGGCUCCUGCCGGUUGUCAUACUCAUCGACAUGCAAGUCGUGAUUCCUAUUACAAAGAACAUGAUCUCAUACAUCACAAUUCAUCAUUCAUCACAACUUCUGGCCAUAUCACAUCACAUGAUCAAUCGCUGCAAAAACAAGUUAGACGUCCUCUAAUUGUUGUUGCAUCUUUUACGUGGCUGCAAUUGGGUUCUAGCAAGAACAUUUUCUUACCUACGAAUCACCACAACGUGAUUUUGUCAACUUCUAUUUACCCUUCAUAAGGGCCAUGUUCAUCGAUUCCGCUCCAACUAAAGUGGGAGAGACAGACACCCGCCAGCCACCUUAUGCAACUAGUGCAUGUCAGUCGGUGGAACCGGUCUCACGUAAGCGUACGUGUAAGGUUGGUCCGGGCCGCUUCAUCCCACAAUACCGUUGAGCAAGAAAAGACUAGUAGAUGCAAGUAAGAUGACAAAAUCCACGCCCACAACAAAAUUGUGUUCUACUCGUGCAAAGAGAACUACGCAUAGACCUAGCUCAUGAUGCCACUGUUGGGGAACGUUGCAGAAAAUUAAAAAUUUUCCUACGGUUUCACCAAGAUCCAUCUAUGAGUUCAUCUAAGCAACGAGUCGAGGGAGUGAGUUUGCAUCUACAUACCACUUGUAGAUCGCGUGCGGAAGCUUGCAAGGUGAUGAUGGAGUCGUACUCGAACGUGAUUCGAAUCACCGAUGACCAAGUGCUGAACGGACAGCACCUCCGCGUUCAACACACGUACGGGACGGGAGACGUCUCCUCCUUCUUGAUCCAGCAAGGGGAAAGGAGAGGUUGAGGAAGACAGCUCCACUGGAAGCACGACGGCGUGGUGAUGGUGGAGAGGCAGUACUCCGACAGGGCUUCACCAAGCACACAACGGAGGAGGAGAGGUGUUGGGGAGGGGAGGGCUGCGCCUUGGAGGGUGGUGCGGCUGCCCUCCCCUCACCCCUCUAUUUAUAGGGGGAAGGGAGAAGGGGGCCGGCCCCCUAGAACCCAUCUAGGGGGGUGCGGCGGCCAAGGGGAGAGGGGGAGAGGGUGGCUUGCCCCCCAAGCCAAGGGGGCGCCCCCUCUAGGGUUCCCCCCUCAACCCUAGGCGCAAGGGCCCAAGGGAGGGGGUGCGGCCAGCCCACCAGGGGCUGGCUCCCUGCCCCACGCAGCCCAUGUGGCCCCCCGGGAGGGGUGGCCCCUCCCGGUGGACCCCCGGAACCCUUCCGGUGGCCCCGGUACAAUACCGGUAUGACCCCGAAACUUCCCGGUGUCCGUUUGACAACUUCCCAUGUAUAAAUCUUUACCUCCGGACCCUUCCAGAGCUCCUCGUGACGUCCAGGAUCCCAUCCGGGACUCCGAACAACAUUCGGUAGUCACAUACUAGUCUUCCUAAUAACCCUAGCGUCACCGAACCUUAAGUGUGUAGACCCUACGGGUUCGGGAGACAUGCAGACAUGACCGAGACGCUCUCAGGUCAAUAACCAACAGCGGGAUCUGGAUACCCAUGAUGGCUCCCACAUGCUCCUCGAUGUUGUCAUCGGAUGAACCACGAUGUCGAGGAUUCGAUCAAACCCUGUAUGCAAUUCCCUUUGUCAAUCGGUACGUUACUUUCCGGAGACUCGAUCGCCGGUAUCCCAAUACCUUGUUCAGUCUCGUUACCGGCAAGUCACUUUACUCGUACCGUAAUGCAUGAUCCCGUGUCCAACACCUUGGUCACAUUGAGCUCAUAAUGAUGAUGCAUUACCGAGUGGGCCCAGAGAUACCUCUCCGUCAUACGGAGUGACAAAUCCCAGUCUCGAUCCGUGUCAACCCAACAGAUACUUUCGGAGAUACCUGUAAUGCACCUUUAUAGUCACCCAGUUACGUUGUGACGUUUGAUACACCCAAGGCACUCUUACGGUAUCCGGGAGUUACACGAUCUCAUGGUCGAAGGAAGAAAUACUUGACAUUGGCAAAGCUCUAGCAAAACGAACUACACGAUCUUUUAUGCUAUGCUUAGGAUUGGGUCUUGUCCAUCACAUCAUUCUCCUAAUGAUGUGAUCCCGUUAUCAACGACAUCCAAUGUCCAUAGUCAGGAAACCAUGACUAUCUGUUGAUCACAACGAGCUAGUCAACUAGAGGCUCACCAGGGACAUAUUGUGGUCUAAGUAUUCACACGUGUAUUACGAUUUCCGGAUAAUACAGUUAUAGCAUGAAUAAAAGACAUUUAUCAUGAACAUUGAAAUAUAAUAAUACUUUUAUUAUUGCCUCUAGGGCAUAUUUCCAACACCAUCAGUAUCACGGAGGUUAACAUUGAGCUCCAGGGGAGUCUCAACAAUGCGCUCAUCAGAAAGAGCAGCACGAACAAGAAGAUCAUGUAUAUACUUUUCCUGGGAUAUAAAAAAGCCAUUAGAGGUAGAAGAGACUUCAAUAGCAAAGAGGUCCAAGAUCGGACAUAAGAAACUGCUCACUAAGACGGGCCUUUACAAAGGCAAUAUACUCGGGGUCAUCACCAGUGAUGAUCAUGUCAUCAACAUAGAUAAGAAGAAGAGUCCGACCACGAGGAGAAAGGUGGACAAACAAUGCUGGAUCAUGAGCACUCGCUGAAAAACCAGCGGUAGUCACCAUAGAGGCAAAACGCUCAAACCAGGCGCGGGGAGCUUGCUUAAGGCCAUAGAGAGAACGACAAAGACGACAUACCAUGCCAUCAGGAAUAGAAUACCCAGGUGGUGGCUGCAUGUAUACCUCCUCACCCAGCUCACGGUUAAGAAAGGCAUUCUUAACAUCAAGCUGAGAUACAGACCAGUGGCGUGCAGAGGCCACGACAAGAAGUGUGCGGAUAGUGGUCAUAUGGGCCACAGGAGAAAAUGUCUCGUCAUAAUUACGACCAUGCUCCUGCUGAAAACCCCGAGCCACAAGACGAGCUUUGUAACGCUCAAGAGAACCAUCAGAGCGAGUCUUAACCUUGUAGACCCACUUACAAGUGAUGGGACGGACACCAGGAGGAAGAGAAACAAGAUCCCAUGUACCAGUGCGUUCAAGAGUAGCAAUCUCCUCUACCAUCGGAAACUGCCAUUCAGGAUGAACAACAGCCUCACGAUAAGAAGUUGGCUCAAGAACAACAGUACCAGCGGUUGAAAAACCAAGGCGAUCAACACGCGGAAGCAGACGAGGACGCAAGCUAUAGGUAGGCUGAGACGAGGAGGAGGACACGUCAACAGACACAUCCACAUCACGUGAACAACGAGUGUAAUACCGAGGCAAAGAUGGAAGAAUACGAGGAGGAAUAGCCAAGGUAGAAUCAAGAGGUGGAAACAAAGAAAUCACCAAGGAGGGAGGUGCAGAAUCUGGUGACAUGCGAGGUGAGGAAACCGUCGGAGAUGGUGGAGAAGGAGAGUGAGCAGGACGAAGAGACAAGGGCUCGACUGGAGUGAUAGGUGUGUCGGGAAAAGUGAGGAAAGAGAUAUCCUCCACAGAAAAGGUCAAGGCAGAUGGACGCGGGUAGAAGGGACGAGACUCAUCAAAAGUCACAUCCCGAGAAAUACGCAUCCGAUGAUCGAUAGGAUCCCAACAACAAUAGCCCUUAUGCUCAUCACUAUAGCCUAAGAAAACACACUCCACAGACUGAGCGGUCAGUUUGGUGCGUUCGUGAGGGGCAAGAAGAACAUAGCAAACACAACCAAACAAGCGAAGCAUCGAAUAAUCAGGAGAACGAUCAAAGAGACACUCGAAAGGAACACCACCCUGGAGAGUAGUGGACGGAUGAAGGUUGAUGAGAUAGGUGGAGGUGAAUAUAGCCUCGGCCCAAAAAUGAGGGGAAGAGAAGCGGCGAUCAUCUACGCACGAGCCGUCUCAAGAAGGUGGCGGUGCUUUUGCUCAGCCACGCCAUUCUGAGCAUGAGCACCAGGAUAAGAGAACUGAGGAAGAGUGCCCUGCUCAGCAAGAACACCACGCAACAUCUUGGAAAUAUACUCGCCAACGGAGUCAGCACGGAACACACGAAUAGGCGAAGAGAACUGAGUGUGAACCAUGGCAGCAAAACGCUUAUAGAUGGAAAGAACCUCACUGCGGGAAGUCAUAAAAUAAAGCCAAGUGUAACGAGAGAAAUCAUCGAUGAAAAUAAUAUAGUAUCGAUGGCCCCCUUUCGAAGCGAAGGGAGCCGGACCCCAUACAUCAGAAUGGACUAAAUCAAAAGGAUGUUGAGACACCGACUCGCUAGUAGGGUAAGGUAACUGAAUCUGUUUUCCUAGUCUACGGCCCUGACACUCUAAAGAGACAUCUCCUGAGACAGACCCCAGAAGACCUCGACGAACUAAUGAUGACAAGCGAGACCCACAAAGAUGACCAAGUCGAUGAUGCCACUGCUGGAAGGAGCCGGUAGCUGAAGCGACAAAAGCAGAUGGACUGGCGAUAGUGGUGGCAACGGAAGGAACAUGAAGCUAGUCUAGCUCCCAAAGACCUGAGAGUCACGGCAGCGAGGGUCGGCCCCAACCAAAGUGUGCAUUUGACGAUCCUGAAUAGAACAAGAGUCAAUGUCAAGGAUGACGUGACAACCAGAAUCAGUAAGUUGACCGAUAGAAAAAAAAUAUUCAUGGUAAGUCGAGGAACAUGAGCAACAUUAGGAACAUAGUAAGAAGGUGUGGUAAGAUUGCCUCGACUGGUAACAGAAAGAGGAGUACCAUCAGCAGUGAGUACAUGAACAGGAAAAUCAACCGAUUUAAGAGAGGACAAAUUGGAAGAAUGAGAAGACAUAUGAAAAGAAGCUCCGGAGUCCAGAACCCACGAGGAUGUACCUGACUGUGUAGAGGGUGGUUGCUUAGUGCGGGAAGCGUUAGUCACAGAACCUGCAGUACCCGUCAAAGGAGAACCUGAAGCGGCAAGCAUACGCUGAAGUCGCAGAAUAUCCUACUCAGUCAAGGCAGUGGCUGAAGAUGUCGAAGUAGAGGAAGUCCCUGAAGUUGAUGAUCAUGCCUUACGCAAGUGUUUCUUCUUCUGGAAGCACUGAGACUCAACAUGACCACCUAUCUUGCAGUAGCCGCAGUGAGGACGAGACCGACCCUAGCCGCCCGUAGGAGUAGGCAAGAGCGGCAGAGCACUCGAGUGGGAAGGAGUCGGUGCAGCAUGCAUAGCAGGAACUCGAGUAGCGAGCACAGAGGGAACAUCAAGUAAACCAGUGACACGGAGGCGAGUCUCCUCAGCACGGAUCUCAGAAAGUGCCUCCAUGAGGGAGAUACGACCACGAGCAAACAACUGAGCACGCCGGGGCUCAAACUCCUUACGGAGUCGAGACAAGAACUCGUAGACACGUUGAAACUCCAAAUCAGCCUGCACAGCCUGGCAACACUAACAAGUACGACAACCAGCAGUGCAGAGAGAAUCAAGCUGACGCCAGAUAGCAUAAUUCUAUGCAUAGAACUCAUCAACAAUGGAGUCACCCUGCUGAAGAGCAUGCUCCUGACGAACCAUAGACAGGUAUAAAGCAUCACCAGAGGGCUGAUAGCACUGACGAAGCCGAGCCCACGUCUCAAAGACAGUAGAGAGGUCGAGAAACUCAGAGGCAAACCGAGGCAGAACACUAGCAGUGAGAACAGCGGCGGCACGAGCAUCAUCAUCAAGCCACUGAGUGUAAGCAGAUAGAGCUGCAUGAUAAGUCUGAAGUGUGUCCUCAUAGGUCUAAACCUGCUCAUCAUAAGCGAGAACGACAUCGUCAUCAGCCAGCUUAGCUGCAUCCUUCGCAGCCUGAUCAGCAUCGACAGCAAUAACCGGUGGCGUCGGUGGAGUAGGAGCCAUAGGAGGAACUGGACACAGCGGACUGGGGACCUCGCCAGAUAGAACGCCCCAGAGACGAAGGCCACGCAUGUGAAUGCGCAUGAAGCCGACAAACUCAAUGUAGUUGGUACCAUAAAAAAUCAUCGGACAGCGAGGAACAACAACAUAGCCAGAGGACAGAGACAUCAUGCCUGUUUUUUUACAGAUGAUCAGGAGCCUCAAUCUGCAGCAGCGGAGGGAUCAGACCGAAGGACGAUCAGGAGUCUCGAUCGAGACCUGACGGUUGGAUCGAGGGCAGUUGGGACCCGGCUACAGCAGCGAUGGAACCUGGCGGCUGGGUCACGAGCAGAAACAGUUGGCUGGAGCAUGGGUGGGACCUGGCGGUGAUGCAGAUUAGAAGCAGAGGCGGGAGUCUCGAACGGGACCGUCUUUGCUCGAUCUGGGCAGGGAAAUCGAUCGAUCAGGGGCGAUGGCGAGAGUCUUCGAUCGGGGGUGGCGGCUAUCAGGCGGCAGCGGCCUCACGAGACAGAGGCGGAUGAGGGCCGGUCGGGGGUGGGAGGGAGAAAAACCAGUAGCAACCUGAGGAUUUGGCCACCACGGAGAGUUAGCGCUGCCAAGGAUGGAGGCGUCGCGAUGGAGGUGGUUCAACAGCACGAGUUGCACGUGCUAUAAAAUUGACCUAGCUCUAAUACCAUGAUAGGAAUAUGCAACUUGUAUUCCCAGGUGGCCAUAGGCCAGUAUAUAUACAUGUACAGGUGUGGAAUAUAUGCAGGAAACCCCUUAUACAAUAGGGUAAAUACGAAAGGUUACAUGGCUAUAUAUAUAUAUAUAUAACUCUAACAGAGUCAAGGGCUUUGCUAUCUUGCUAUGAUGAGGGAAUAAAAGAAAGAAAUAAAGAGAAAUAAAAGAGAUCAUAUUGAUCUUAUGGAGAGUAAUGACUUCACAUAUAAAGAGUAUGAUGAUUAAAAGUUGUUGAGAGUUGACAAACAUGGUUUUGGUCAUCGUUGCAAUUAAUAGGAAGUAAUAAAGAAAGAGAGGUUCUCACAUAUAAAUAUACUAUCUUGGACAUCUUUUAUGAUUGUGAGCACUCAUUAAAAUAUGACAUGCUAAAGAGUUGAUGUUGGAGAAGGAACACAACGUAAUGAGUUAUGUUUUCUUAUAUCUGAAAUAAAGUAUAUUGUCAUGGAUCAUCCAACAUGUUGAGCUUGCCUUUCCCCCUCAUGCUAGCCAAAUUCCUUGCACCAAGUAGAGAUACUACUUGUGCUUCCAAAUAUCCUUAAACCCAGUUUUGCCAUGAGAGUCCACCAUAUCUACCUAUGGAUUGAGUAAGAUCCUUCAAGUAAGUUGUCAUGUUGCAUGCAAUAAAAAAUUGCUUUCUUAAUAUGUAUAACUUAUUAGUGUGGAGAAAAUAAGCUUUAUACGAUCUUGUGAUAUGGAAGUAAUAAAAGCGACGGACUGCAUAAUAAAGGUCCAUAUCACAAGUGGCAAUAUAAAGUGACGUUCUUUUGCAUUAAGAUUUCGUGCAUCCAACCAUAAAAGCACAUGACAACCUCUACUUCCCUCUGCGAAGGGCCUAUCUUUUAUUCUUGUCUUAUACAUUAUGCUAGAGUCAAGGUGAUCUUCACCUUUCCCUUUUACAUUUUAUCCUUUGGCAAGCACCAUGUGUUGGAAAGAUCCUGAUACAUAUAUCCAAUUGGAUGUAAGUUAGCAUGAACUAUUAUUGUUGACAUUACCCUUGAGGUAAAAGGUUGGGAGGCAACACUAUAAGCCCCUAUCUUUCUUUGUGUCCGAUUAAAACUCCAUACCCAUAAGUAUUGCGUGAGUGUUAGCAAUUGUGAAAGACUAAAUGAUAGUUGAGUAUGUGGACUUGCUGAAAAGCUCUUAUAUUGACUCUUUCCGAUGUUAUGAUAAAUUGCAAUUGCUUCAAUCACCGAGAUUAUAGUUUGUUAGUUUUCAAUGAAGUUUCUGAUUCAUACUGGAUAUUGUGAAUAGAUUGUUACUUUAGCGUAAGAAAUCAUAUGACAAAAUAUAUGUAUGUUGCUGUUAUAAGAAAGAUCAUGAUGCCCUCAUGUCCGUAUUUUAUUUUAUAGACACCUCAAUCUCUAAACAUGUGGACAUAUUUUUCGAUUUAGGCUUCCGCUUGAGGACAAGCGAGGUCUAAGCUUGGGAGAGUCGAUACGUCCAUUUUGCAUCAUGCUUUUAUAUCGAUAUUUAUUGCAUUAUGGGUUGUUAUUACAUGUUACGUCACAAUACUUAUGUCUAUUCUCUCUUAUUUUACAAGGUUUACAUGAAAAGGGAGAAUGUCGGCAGCUGGGAUUCUGGGCAGGAAAAGGAGCAAAUAUUAGAGACCUAUUCUGCACAACUCCAAAAGUCAUGAAACUCCACGAAGUCAUUUUUGGAAUUAAUAAAAAAUACCGAGCGGAAGAAAUACCAGAGGGGGGCCAUCCACCGUCCACGAGGGUGGGGGCGUGCCCUACCCCCCUGGGCGCGCCCCCUGCCUCGUGGACCCCCUGGCAGCCUUUCGGUGACCAUCUUCUGCUAUAUGAAGUCUUUUACCAUGGAAAAAAUCAUAAGCAAGCUUUCGGGACGAAACUCCGCCGCCACAAGGCGGAACCUUGGCGAAACUAAUCUAGGGCUCCGGCGGAGCUGUUCUGUCGGGGAAACAUCCCUCCGGGAGGGGGAAAUCAUCGCCAUCGUCAUCACCAUCGAUCCUCUCAUCGGGAGGGGGUCAAUCUCCAUCAACAUCUUCACUAACACCAUCUCCUCUCAAACCCUAGUUCAUCUCUUGUAUUCAAUCUUUGUCCCAAAACCCCAGAUUGGUACCUGUAGGUUGCUAGUAGUGUUGAUUACUCCUUGUAGUUGAUGCUAGUUGGUUUAUUCGGUGGAAGAUCAUAUGUUCAGAUCCUUAAUGCAUAUUAAUACCCCUCUGAUUAUGAACAUGAAUAUGAUUUGUGAGUAGUUACGUCUGUUCCUGAGGACAUGGGAGAAGUCUUGCUAUAAGUAGUCAUGUGAAAUUGGUAUUCGUUCGAUAUUUUGAUGAGAUGUAUGUUGUCUCUCCUCUAGUGGUGUUAUGUGAACGUCAACUACAUGACACUUCACCAUUGCUAGAGUGACAAAAGUUUAAACCCUAGUUUAUGCGUUGCUUCGUAAGGGGCUGAUUUGGAUCCAUAUGUUUCAUGCUAUGGUUAGGUUUAACUUAAUACUUCUUUUGUAGUUGCGGAUGCUUGCAAUAGGGGUUAAUCAUAAGUAGGAUGCUUGUCCAAGAAAGGGUAGUACCCAAGCACCGGUCCACCCACAUAUCAAAUUAUCAAAGUAACGAAUGCGAAUCAUAUGAGCGUGAUGAAAACUAGCUUGACGAUAAUUCCCAUGUGUCCUCGGGAGCGUUUUCCUUCACAUAAUAAUUUGUCCAGGAUUGUCCUUUGCUACAAAAAGGAUUGGGACACCUUAUUUACUUUCAAAGCUUGUUACCCGUUACAAAUUACCUUAUCACAAAACUAUCUGUUACCGAUAAUUUUAGUGCUUGCAGAGAAUACCUUGAUGAAAACCACUUGUCAUUUCCUUCUGCUCCUCGUUGGGUUCGACACUCUUACUUAUCGAAAGGACUACGAUAGAUCCCCUACACUUGUGGGUCAUCAACUACUCGCAUAGGAUUUUGUUUAGCAUCAGAGAAUCAAAGUUUCAAACACUAUCCCCGUGUUAAUAGUAUGGUGAUCCUGUGAUUCAAUAAUGAGAAAGAAGAACAAUGAAAUAAAUGGUACGUCUUCACUUCGUCUUCAACUUCUCGGCUGCAGUCAAUUACUUUGGACAGACACCAAACCGAUUGUUUUGCAUAAACAAUUUUUGGGGGCCACUCUCGACAGCACAAUCUUCAGUGAUAAUCCUCGCUGCCAUGCAGGAGAUUAUCUUCGGAGUUUGAAUCAAACUUUUCAUGACUCUAGGGACCCGUUACUCUAUGUGCACUAGCAAACACUUACUGCCUAUGUCAACAAUCUCCAAAACAUAAGGAGGCAAAUUAUUGCACUAACAAUACCUAGGGUGAUCGAGGAGAUCCGAAGGCAUGUGGGAGCACCGAUAGUUGAUCUCCAGCAGACAGGUGCGGUCGCUCGCCAAGAUUGGCGGCACGGGCACCCAAUCUGGGUUGAGAUGUCACCCAUUCGGGAGAUGCACAUCGGACCACGACAGCGGGGUGGUCGUGUCCCAAUAGAGCUAGCACACCUCCACCUUGACGUAUGACCGUGGGCGGUGAAAUAGCAAAGGCGGUGGGCGUCGAGAUGGAGUAGGCAACGACGCUCCCCAAUGACGUGAAGAACGACCCUGCUUCGUGGUCUUGCUUUCUCUUCUUGCCGGGGAUCCACUUCCACAUCCCCAUGGCUGGUCGGCGGCCGGCGGGAGCGAGGGCAGUGCUAGGAUUGGGCUUGUCGGGGCACGAAGCGACAUUAGAAGAGUGUGGACAAUUUCAGAAGUGGACUGGCCGGUCGACGGCUUCAUCAUUAAAAAGGACGCGUUGAGGGCGGCUGGGAGGCUCAUGUGCGGGCCCAUCCACACGUGCGGAUUAAAUGGGGCCGAUGGGAACCAGUUGCAUUGCUGAGAUGUGGGCCCGAGGGCGAACGACGAGAGGACACGUGCAAGUCUAUGAUGUGUUCGUCUGAGCGUAAAUCCGGCUAAAAUUUGCGUCGGAAUUGGGUCGGGCAAGUCAGACAUAAUUUGCCCCCGAACGCGAGUGUUGGGCCCAUACCUGGCCAAACGGGCCAGCCCAGCCCGGCAUGGCCCGCGUCGGGAUGAACAAUAACUGGGUCGUGCCGUGCCGGCCCACGGGCUGGAGCUAGCAGCCCAGACACGACACGUAGGCGACGUGGGCCGGCACGCCGGCCCGUUGCGGCGUGUUGGGCCGCCUGGCGCAUUUUUUUUCUUUUUUGUUCGUAAUACCUCUAAAAAUAGCGAAAAGGCCAAAAAAAUGUAGAAAAUUGGAAAAUUUGUUAGACUAUUAUGUGGGAUAAAUCUAGAGCUUUAUUAGCACCUACAUCAUUAAAAACUUCCAUCUCAAAUAAGUAAAAGAAUACAAGACAUGCUAUAGAAUUACAAAAGGAUAAAAAAAAUACAAAGGCUGAGAAUGGACGUUUGCCUCUCGGCCUCCAUGGAGGCCUUUUUUUGAAAAUAAAUCAAAAUUCAAAGUUUCAAUUUUUUUUGAAAAAAAGUAUGCAAAUAAACAAGAAUGUUAUGUGUAUGUGGGUAAAAUUUCAGGAUGAAAAACAUUGAGAUGCGACCUGUACAAAAAUGAUAAAUUCAUGGCCCGGGAGGAUGAAUAGUAUCAUGUGUUAAAAAGCCCUAGAUUUGUCUUUUUUGCACAGGCCUCAUUUCAACGUAUUUUGCCCUGAAAAUUUACACACAUGUGUUAUGCGUUCAUGUAUAUCUGUGCUUUUUUUUCAGAAUUUUUUAAAAUGCAGAAAAUAUGAAAUUUGAUGAAAUUCAAAAUUUUCAAAACCGAGCUCCAUGGAGCUCGGCCUCCAAAGACAAUAUUCGACAAAGACUACACUAUAUAACACUACUAAUACUCAGAUGAAGAUCCUAGCGCUAAUAAAAUAUGCAUGCACGACAAAAAGUUUGAACAUAUUAGAGUAUUAUAGGUAUUUAUAUAGGACAUAUAUAAUUAUAUAUUUUAAAAAAAUAAACGGGCCGUGCCGUGCCGGCCCGCGUGCCCAGCCUCCAGGACCAGGCACGGCCCAUGGCAUGCCGCGUGCCGGGCCUGGCCUGUUUAGCCCAGGCCGUGCCGUGUCGGGUCGUGCCGUGCCCGCGUGCUACCGGGCCGGCCCAGUUAGCACGGCCCGUUUGGCCAGCUAUAGUUGUGCCGUGGCAUUUGUCCCCGGACCAAGGUCGUGCGUUGUGCGUUGGAGUUGACCCAGUCUCAUUCGUCUCGCCCGCCCCCGGUUUCCGUUUCCGGUUCCAUCCCGAGUUCCGCCUCCGGUCUCUCCUCCGCCGGCGCAGGAUGGCGGCGGCCGCGGGCACAGCGAGGCAGGAGGGCGCGGCGCCCAGGGUGGGGCUGCUGUACGACCAGAGGAUGCUGGCGCACGCGCCUGCCUUGAACACAGAAAAGGAGACCCCCGAGCGGCUACGCGCCAUCUGGCGCAAGCUCGCCGCCGAGGGCGUCACCUCCAGGUACGCGCCGCCAGCGACUCUCUCAAGCGAGAGCAGCGCCACCUCGUGCCCCCCCUUUUUUUUUCUGCAUACGGUUCCGUGGAAUCGCCGGAGAUAGAUGGGAUGGGAGGUCCUCGCGCGCUCCCGCUGUACUUGAUCUGUUUCCUGUUACGACUGUAAAUCUGCACGAUUAUGUUUUGGUGUUUGAAGUGCCCCAAAUGGUGAAGGGCCUGAGAAAGGGGGGAGAGAGUAUAGAUCCUUCAUACAAUAGGUUCAAACAUGUAUGCACUGUAGCGCUGAAAGCAGCAGUCCUUCUGGUAUUUCUGCAAUUUCGGGUACUCCAGCCCUUCCUCGUGUACAGUAACUUGGAAUGUCCAUUGCUUGCAUUACUUUGAUUGAUUACAUUACAUUAAUAAUUGUAUGACUUUGCAAGGUUCUGUGGCUGUAGUGUGACAUAAGUUUCUUCAGACAAUAGGUUCAAACAUGUAUGCACAGUAGUGCUGAAAAGAAAUAGAGUUCUGGUAUUUCUGCAAUUCUUGGUACUCAAGCCAUUGCCUGUGCACAGUAACCUGAUGCUACUAGAGUUAAGUUUGAACAUUGGCAUUAUGGCUUCUGUGCUGCCCACUGUUUGCAUUAUAGGUUCAAACAUGUAUGCACUGCAGCUCUGAAAGGAACAGAGUCCUUCUGGUACUCCUGCAAUUUUGGGCACUCCAGCCCUUCACUUGGAUGCCUGCAGGCGUCCAUUUAAAGAGGAAUUGAAGUGGCUCAUUUACAGGGCCAAAAGGAAGGAGUAUAGUGGGUCAAAGCUUUCAGAUGAACCUAGUUCUUCCUCCAUUGUACCUUUUGUAUUUUCUGUUCCUUGUUUGUUUUCACUAGGCCUGUAUAGCUCUUUCGUUUUAUUUCCGAACUUUAUUUUGUAACAUUUAUUUGAAAAUCAACAAAAAUACGCAGUAGAGUCCUGCUGUUUGCCUUUAAAAAAGUAACUUGGAUGCCACUAGAGUGAAGUUUGAACAUCGGCAUUAUAGCUUCUGUGCUGUCCGUUGCUUGCAUUACUUAGAUUGAUUAGAUUAAUAAUUGUAUGACUUCGCAAGGUUCUGUGGCUGUAGUGUAAUAUAAGUUUCUUCCAGGUGUGUGGGCAUGAGGGCGAAGGAAGCCAAGGAAAAAUAUAUAGCCUCUGUCCAUGCCCGGAAGCAUGUAGAUCUGAUAAGGAAAAUCAGCUCGAAGGAUAGUUCCGAUCUGAAAAAGACUGCUAAGAAAUUCGAUUCCGUUUACUUCAGCAAAGGCUCCUCAGAGUCUGCUUUCCUUGCGGCUGGUUCUGUCAUCGAGGUAAUUUCCGUUUACUUUUCCUACAUUGCAUAUGUACGUUCACUAGUCUUAUACAGCAAUUCUGGUUCCGCUGAUCCUGAGUGCUGACAAAAUGACUCGUUUGGCAAGUAGGUUGCUGAGAAGGUUGCGGCUGGUGAGCUGAGUUCUGCUAUCGCUCUAGUCAGACCUCCAGGCCACCAUGCCGAACAUAGCCAUCCCAUGGGAUAUUGCCUCUUCAACAAUGUGGCAAUUGCAGCUAACUACCUGUUAAAUGAAAGGGUGUGUAUUUGAAACUUCCCUGUUGAAUGUUCUGUUAAGAUCAAUAUGUGCUAUUUUUGUUUAUCAUUUCCUCUGUAGGAACAAUCAUAUCAAUUUGCUAUGAUGUGACCUACUGAGAACAUGGAGUCAUUUUCUGACUUACCUUUUUCUGUUGCAGCCUGACCUAGGUAUCAACAAGAUAUUAAUCGUCGAUUGGGAUGUUCAUCAUGGAAAUGGCACGCAGAACAUGUUUUAUAAUGACCCUCGUGUAUUGUUCUUUUCAGUGCACAGGUAUAACACAACAAUUUGGCGUUGCUUUGCUAUUUUUGUUUAGACUUCAGACUUUGCUUCCGCAAACAUGCAAUCCACUGUAUGUAUACGCAUUAGAUAUAAAGAAGAAGUUUUAGUUGAGACUUUAGACUAGCUUCAUAACCUUCACGAUAUGAUAUUCGUGAAACCGUGGUAGUUUUGUUGCCUACAUUUUUAUGGCUUACUGCUUUUUGAAUGGAUGUAGGAUGCUGAGAGCGUUUUCUUACAGUGGAUCUCUGCAGUUCAUAGAAAUUUAGAAACUCCAUUUCUUAUUUACAUGGCAUUAACAAACUCAUUUUUGAUAUUAGUGAGCUCACCUUACUAUAAUGCUCUUGGAUAUUGUACCUGUAAUGAUCGGGAUUAAGUCUCCUCAGUUUUGUUGAUCCAGUUGGGCUGUAUAGCACGACCUAAAUGCUUGAGCCCAGUUUGUGAUUAAUGUGCCAUGGAACCUAUUAACUAUUAAUCCGUUGUCAAUGGAAGAAUCUAUAACAGAUAACUUUAUACUGUAGGCUUAUUCCUUUUUCUGUUUCAUCAUGGUUUUACCAUUUUACUUCCUAUGUCGACACUACUAGUAUUGAAAUAGCCUGAAUUAUCUGUUCUAAACUUCUAAUCAACAUAGUAUGGUUACUUUAUUUGUCAUUUGAAUUGUCACCUGCCAACCCUUGAUUUUGGUUAUAGUAUAUUAAUCAAUUCAUUGUGUUUACUUACUAUUGCUAUCUGAGUUUAGUUUCCCAUACUACGGUUCAUGUUUACAUUAGAAAGAGGUGUUUGUAAUGCAACUUCAGUGCUUAUGUUUGAAAACUGAGUUGUACUUGUUAUACAACUCUUGCUCUAAUAUGUUUGAUUUAUCUGCACUGUUAUAGUCUAGAGCAUCCAAAAUACAUGAUAUUGAUAUUUAUUCUUUCUUUCUCUGAUAUAUGUGAAAAGUUCUAGCCUCCCAGAUCCAACGCCGAAACUCCUUCUAACAUUGUUCUAACUAGUGUCAAAAAACGUCUUACAUUAUGGGACGGAGGGAGUAGUAGGUACUAGGUAGGUACCUGAGGAGAAAGCUGCUGUUCUAACCGCUUAUCAUUUAAGUUUACAUACAUGUUACCUUAGCUGAUGAAUCUACAGAUUGUGUAACUUGCCAUCUUUGGUAAAGGCCUCUCCUAGAACUACCCAACCAAUUCUGAUCGAAAUCUCAAAUUUUCACAGUUGUUCCAUUGCAUUCUGUUGAUCCUUCAGUAAUGUGUAAACUAUUAUUCCAAUGUUUGCUCUGUAGAUAUGGUUAUGGAAGCUUCUACCCUUAUGAAGCGGAUGCAUCACACGUUUUCAUUGGGGAUGAAACUGGUCGAGGGUACAACAUUAAUGUGCCCUGGGAGCAUGCGAAAUGCGGUGAUGCAGAUUAUGUUGCUGCAUGGGACCAUGUACUCCUUCCUGUUGCAGAAGCAUUUGAUCCGGAUAUAAUAUUACUGUCUGCUGGGUUUGACGCAGGUAGACAACUGGAAAAUUCUUAGAAACUAUCUUGUCCCUAAAAUUUAAACAUCUAACUAAUCUAGGCAUUCAAAUGAAGCCUGACUGUUGCUAUAUACUGGCAUUGUAGUUUAUUCUAUGGACUAGAUGUGCACUGGUUCGAGUACUACACCUGAUAUACCUGAUUUCCUUUUUGCGUGACAAAUGAGAUCUUCACUGAAGAUAUUUUGACAACCGCUGUGGCUUUGUUGUAUUAUAUUGCUAUUACAUGCCAAUGGAAUCAAAACUUCUGUGUCUCAUAUGACCAUGCAUGUUCUUGUUACUCACUGGUUUUGAAUAUUUUCCCUGUUUCUUUUUUGCUAGCACUGGGUGAUGAUAUGGGUGAUUGCUGCAUCACUCCAAAUGGAUAUGCACUGCUACUAACAAAGGUAUGCAUUUGCAGGUUUGCAGCAAAAUGACCUUUUAUUAAACUCACUGAACCAUGCACUCUCCUGGUCUUAAAAACAUUUUUCAUUCUUGACCUUGGAGUUUGGAUGUGAUAGAGUAGCGUUUAUGUUAUUGCCACAGUCAUUCAUUUUUGUUGUCAUGCUUUGGUGUUACCUGUUAGAAAAUUUUCAUUUGAUCCCAUCAAUUUAUUAGUAUUCCUAUAGUUUUUUUGGACUUUCUACUCAGCUGAUCGAUGCUUAUGCCUGUCUACAUUUUACCUGCAGCUGUUAGGUUUUGCAAAAGGAAGGAUUGUGAUGGCCCUUGAAGGAGGUUAUAACCCUGAGUCCAUAGCAAACUCAGUUUGUGCUUGCGCAAAAGUAUUGUUGGGAGAUAAAUUCACACUUAACUCUCCAGAGAUGCAACCAUUCGAAUCUACAUGGAGAGUCAUACAAAUGGUAAUGGUCUGCAAUGUACUAUUUCUGUCUAAUUUUGGUCUCGCUAUGCGUAUCUGUAAUUUAGUUCUCAUUCCCCCUCACACUGACCAGGUACGCGAUGAAUUAAAGACAUACUGGCCUGUUUUGAGCAGUAAGCUUCCGGAGAACGUAUCUUUGAGGAGUACGCCCUCAUAUAUCCAGGUGAAUUUCCUCUUUCUAUUUUCUUCUUCUUGGGGACUUGAGUUGGGGCCUGCUUGGUCUGACCUCCGACUAAUGAAUUGUGCUCUUAUGUAUGAGAUGUGGAUCGCUCUGUUCCAGAUCCGUUUGCUGGGAAACUUGACACCAUCUUCUCUUACUUUUCACCAACAUGUCAUGACCACAGUUGCAGCUUUCAAACCACAUUCUUAAUGGAAGAUUUUCUUUUUGUUCCAGGGUUAUAAUGAAGCACCAUAAUGUAGCCCAAUUUCAUAGAUGAAUGCAUGUUCACGAGUGAUGUGGACUGUAUUACACAGCUCAGUUGAUAUGCUAUUUCCAUAUUAUCCGCAGGCAAUCCAUACUUGAUGAACCUUUUUUUGUUGUUGUGAUCAAUGCUUCAUGUGUAUACUUAUUCUGAGGUGCCUAUCAACUUUCAAACUCUUAACUCUUGCAAAAGAACAUACAGAGUUAUACAGCUCAACUAUGUUUGUACUCUGCACUUAAAUUAUCUUGUGCCAAUAGUCUCACAUUUGAUUUACUCCCUCCGUCCCAAAAUAAGUGUCUCAACUUUAGUACAACUUUGUACUAAAGCUAGUACAAAGUUGAGACACUUAUUUUGGGACGGAAGGAGUACCAUUUAUGCAUCUUGAUGCAUGGAGGCUUACUGUAUAGCUGAGACGAUCAAUAGGAAAUAUUAACCUGAUGGUGGAGCCCUUGAAUAAUUUCUCUUUCUUGUUUUCCCCAUUGGGGAAUGAACAGCCAUGCACUUCCUCUGGUUCUGAAUCUGAUGUUUUUAGUACGAUAUGCUUGGAGAUCCGCAUUGUCAAAAGUUCAAUAUUUGGUAUGCCAGCUUUGGUUCAAACAUGUGGAAACCAAGAUUCUUGUGCUACAUCGAAGGGGGUAAGGUAAAGUUGAAAGCACAUUGUAAUUUAUAUAUGGCAAGGAACAUUUAGGUUCCUCUAUUUAAAGUUUGUAGCCCGUCGCUGCAUUCAUCACGUCAUUGAUUUCUCGGGGAGAUUUCAGUCGGUGCACCCCUUUCAGUUAAUGUAACUCAAAUCACUUAUGGAGGGUACUUUUGUACCUUCCGCACAAAUCGGGAAUAAAUAUUUGUCCACUCCAUGCAUUAGUCUGUUACGCACCGGUGUAUCAAUUCAAUUGGGGAAGCUGCUGCCCGGAACAAUAGCAGCUCACGCUUGCUCCACGACGUUCGAACAAACCUUAUCUAGCCCAUGGCUCUUCAUGCCUUCCUCGCUGCUCCUCUUAGUUUGUUUGAUCUGGCACUAUGUGAAUCACAGACGUCGACCUGGGGAUCGGUGUCUAUGAGUGCAAAGCUUCACAACCAUUCGCUAGCAAUGACCAAAGAGAUUGAUGGCCUAUUUGAUUCGCAGGAUUUUCAAAACAAGGGAAUAGGAAAACACAGGAUUGUAAUGUCAUGUUCAUCUCAAUCCUACAUGAUUUUGGGUUGUUUGAUUGCAUCAUAGGAAAGACAAAUUAUUCUUUCAAAGAGGUUUGAGUGGAUGGUAUAAAUCCUAUGGGAAGUAGUACAAAUAAAUCCUUAGGAAAAAUUCCUAUAGUUUCAAUCCUAUGAAUCAAACAAGCAACAUAGAAAAAAUUCCUAAGGAUUCUAAUCCUCCAAAAUUCCUAUGAAAAUCUCUUGAAUCAAAGGAGCCCUGAACUGACUGUGGCCCCUUGUUGUAUCUUUCACUCCUGCUUCUAUAAGGGGAGAGGAGGGGGGCAAGCGUGAUGUAAGGAGAUGCGGACGGGCUGAGAUGAGGUUGGGCCUGAAGGUGGGCUGUAUGAGUUGCACCAUGCUCAGUACCCCUCGUCGAGGUGGAGGGGCUAUGGGCGAAAGCUUUGGCCGNNNNNNNNNNNNNNNNNNNNNNNNNNNNNNNNNNNNNNNNNNNNNNNNNNNNNNNNNNNNNNNNNNNNNNNNNNNNNNNNNNNNNNNNNNNNNNNNNNNNNNNNNNNNNNNNNNNNNNNNNNNNNNNNNNNNNNNNNNNNNNNNNNNNNNNNNNNNNNNNNNNNNNNNNNNNNNNNNNNNNNNNNNNNNNNNNNNNNNNNNNNNNNNNNNNNNNNNNNNNNNNNNNNNNNNNNNNNNNNNNNNNNNNNNNNNNNNNNNNNNNNNNNNNNNNNNNNNNNNNNNNNNNNNNNNNNNNNNNNNNNNNNNNNNNNNNNNNNNNNNNNNNNNNNNNNNNNNNNNNNNNNNNNNNNNNNNNNNNNNNNNNNNNNNNNNNNNNNNNNNNNNNNNNNNNNNNNNNNNNNNNNNNNNNNNNNNNNNNNNNNNNNNNNNNNNNNNNNNNNNNNNNNNNNNNNNNNNNNNNNNNNNNNNNNAGGCAUCCUAUCCUUGGAGGCGUUGCCGAAGAGUUCGUCCCGACACCAGAUCAUUGUGGCUAGUACUAGGUUGAUGGUAUGAGUGUAUCAUGUUUUGGUUCACAUGACACAAGCCCACGAAGAGGUACCAUGUGGAAGAUGUGCAUCAUACAUUUUUUUCGGGAGAUCCUCUAUCCCCUGUGGGGUACUGGUGGUGUUGCUUUCCUCAUAACCACAUCUACGUUUUAUUGAUCCUUGAAUUAGGUCUGGGUGGAACAUAAUCUCUCGUCAGUGCUCUGAUUUCAUCAUGAAUUUCUCUUUUUACAGGCUUGAGCAGUUCAAUGACACGUUUGAAGAGAACUGUUUAGUGAAGGAUAUCGGCGAAGAUGGAAAAAUCAAGUCUCCUGGCUCUCCUUUGAUUCGCUUGUCUGAAAUAGACUCUGCCUCUUCACAAAAAACUCUUCAUCUUGAACCUAUUAAGGUUGGAUUUGCUGCUUUCCACAUCAAGCACACGCUUAUCCUCCGCAUAGAAUUUUCUAUAUGUCUAUAAAUAAAUGAGAGUUAAUGUCGCAUCGUUGGAAAAAAAUGCUCUUAAGUGCGACUGUCCUGGCAGCACUUUGAUAAAGGACACUGCCAACCUCUUGUGUGGCCAUCACUGGUAGAAUCUAUCACUCUUACAGAUUAACGCUAAUGCCUGCUGUAAUAGUUGAUCCUUUGGUAAGGAAAUGCCAUGUCCUGCCUCUUUUGUCUGUCGGGUUGAUCUGAAGUUAGAAGUAACCUGGGACUGAUGCCUAGUCCAGAUCGCGUUUGGAAUGUUACCUUGGAUUUGAAGCUCUUUUGACAUCAUCACAACAGUGGAAAAAGGUCUUGUCUCAGUACAUUACAGACUGAAAAGGAUAAACUAUUUUUUCUUCUGAUAAUGCCGCUUCAUCCAUAGCCAUAUAGCUGACACUAGUUGAUUUUCUAAAUAAAUCUGAUGCUAGUUAUAUUUUCAUAUCAGUGGAUCAUUUCUGCAAGUUAUUAGUUUUUAUUGUUCAUGUUUGUUAUGCAAAUUUCCUACAGGAUAUCUGGUACUCCACGUGUAAAACCAAUGUACUCUUAUCUUGAGAGGAGGAUGACGUCCAAUUUUAACUAUGACGUAAGCUCCAGUGUUCACUUGGUAAAGAAAUUUCUUGUGGAUACUAUCCAAAGCACUACUUGAAGGGAAGCAGUAAGAACACAGAUGAAGAUAUGUCUUUUGGUGGAUGGUGUGAAAUUGUUUGUUUCCCUGCAGNNNNNNNNNNNNNNNNNNNNNNNNNNNNNNNNNNNNNNNNNNNNNNNNNNNNNNNNNNNNNNNNNNNNNNNNNNNNNNNNNNNNNNNNNNNNNNNNNNNNNNNNNNNNNNNNNNNNNNNNNNNNNNNNNNNNNNNNNNNNNNNNNNNNNNNNNNNNNNNNNNNNNNNNNNNNNNNNNNNNNNNNNNNNNNNNNNNNNNNNNNNUCAACAUUUCUGUACAUGUUUUGCAGGAAUUAAUUCAUAGAGCUAAGAGAGCUGGGUUAAUUAGAGGGGUAGUUCCUUGUCUAGUAGAGGGAGGCGUUAAUAUGUUACAAUAUGUUGAUGACACAGUACUUUUAUUAAGAGCUGACAAGGAAGAGGCCAAGGUGUUAAAGAACAUUUUAUGCUUAUUUGAGCAUCUUUCUGGUCUAAAGAUUAAUUUUAAUAAGAGUGAGCUUUUUUGUUUAUGAUAGGCUAGUGGUCACAUUGAAAUAUGUAGAGAAAUUUUUACUUGUGUAGCUGGUAGCUUACCUGGGCAUCCCUGUGCAUAGUGUUAAGCUUAUGAAUAGUGAUUGGAAAGGAGUGGAGGACAAGAUGGAAAGGAAACUAGGAGCCUGGCAAGGAAGAAUGAUGUCUUGUGGUCCUAAAUUAAUUUUGCUGAAAUCCUGUUUGAGUAGUAUACCUUACUUUAUGAUGUCUAUGUUUCCUAUUCCUAAAGAUACUCUGCGUAGAGUAGAAUAUUUUAUGAAAAGACUUCUAUGGCAGGAUAGUGAUGAAUCUGACAAGUACAAUUUAGUGAAGUCGGAAAAGGUUUGCCAACCUAUUCAUCGGGGUAGGGGGUCUGGGCUAGCUGUAAUGUAUAGGUGUCUUUUGAGUAAAUGGUUAUGGAAAAUAGAAAAUGAUGAAGCUUUGUGGCAAGAUAUGAUUAGAAGUAAAUAUUGUAAUGAAGAGUCCUAGUCAGCAUUAAGAGAAAACCUACGCAAGUCUCAUUUUAUGAGUGGCAUCUUAGACUAGAAAAGAGUAUUAUAAAUUUUGUAGGACUCUUGGGAAGACUCUUGGGAAUGGCAAAACUACUAGAUUCUUGGGAAGACUCUUGAUUAGGUAAUGUUCCACUGUGUAGUAAGUUCCAUAGAUUGUAUAAUGCUAACACCAGUUUUAGUACUCCCUCCGUCCCAAAAUACUUGUCAUUGAAAUGGAUGUAUCUAGAUGUAUUUUAGUUCUAGAUACAUCCAUUUUGAUGACAAGUAAUUCCGGACGGAGGGAGUAUUACUGUAGCAGAGGUGAUUUGGGGUUGUUGGGAUAAUGUCAAAUUUAGGAGGAGGUUGCUAGGUGAUUUGGCUGAGCAGCAGUUGCAAUGUCUCUGUGAGGACAUGGUUCUAAGUGAGGAGAGAGAUAAGUGCGUGUGGACUUUAACUACAUGUGGUGAAUUUACCGUUAGAUCGAUGUACCUGUUGAUCAAAGCUUUGCAAGUUAGAUGUCCUUUUAGAAAAUUAUGGUUUAUUAAAGUACCUCUUAAAAUUACAGUUUUCUUGCGAUUGAUGUUUUAAGAAUAGUAUAUUAUUGACUAAAGAUAACUUGACAAAAAAGAUGUUGGGUAUGAGAUGAGAAGUGUUGUUUUUGUGAGGCUAGAGAAUCUGUGGAUCACCUCUUUAUUCACCGUUCUUUGGCAAAAUAUGUAUGGGGAGCAGUUAGUUAUGCUUUGGGGGUAUCCAUGAAUUUAGACACUGUAAAAGAUAUUUCUCUGUGGAUCAUGAGAUUUCCUGGUAAGAUGAGAGGAGUAGGACUAAUGGCUGCAGGGGUAGCAGCGAUAAUUAGGGGCUUAGGGCAAUCUGGAAGGUAGGAAUAAUCCAAUAUGCUUUAGAGAUAUUUAUCCGUAUGAUCCGAAUAGCGUUAUUGCUCAAGUUUCUUGGGAAGACUCUUGAUUAGGUAAUGUUCCACUGUGUAGUAAGUUCCAUAGAUUGUAUAAUGCUAACACCAGUUUUAGUACUCCCUCCGUCCCAAAAUACUUGUCAUUGAAAUGGAUGUAUCUAGAUGUAUUUUAGUUCUAGAUACAUCCAUUUUGAUGACAAGUAAUUCCGGACGGAGGGAGUAUUACUGUAGCAGAGGUGAUUUGGGGUUGUUGGGAUAGUGUCAAAUUUAGGAGGAGGUUGCUAGGUGAUUUGGCUGAGCAGCAGUUGCAAUGUCUCUGUGAGGACAUGGUUCUAAGUGAGGAGAGAGAUAAGUGCGUGUGGACUUUAACUACAUGUGGUGAAUUUACCGUUAGAUCGAUGUACCUGUUGAUCAAAGCUUUGCAAGUUAGAUGUCCUUUUAGAAAAUUAUGGUUUAUUAAAGUACCUCUUAAGAUUACAGUUUUCUUGCGAUUGAUGUUUUAAGAAUAGUAUAUUAUUGACUAAAGAUAACUUGACAAAAAAGAUGUUGGGUAUGAGAUGAGAAGUGUUGUUUUUGUGAGGCUAGAGAAUCUGUGGAUCACCUCUUUAUUCACCGUUCUUUGGCAAAAUAUGUAUGGGGAGCAGUUAGUUAUGCUUUGGGGGUAUCCAUGAAUUUAGACACUGUAAAAGAUAUUUCUCUGUGGAUCAUGAGAUUUCCUGGUAAGAUGAGAGGAGUAGGACUAAUGGCUGCAGGGGUAGCAGCGAUAAUUAGGGGCUUAGGGCAAUCUGGAAGGUAGGAAUAAUCCAAUAUGCUUUAGAGAUAUUUAUCCGUAUGAUCCGAAUAGCGUUAUUGCUCAAGUUUCUCACUGGUUGGAACACUGGGCUGGUUUGCAGAAGUGAGGGGGGGUCCGAGAAUUGCAAGCCAGAGGAGCAAGACUGUUGUGGCAAGUUGCAGCUGAGAUGUACAGCCGAAAGAGAGGAUGGGCGACACUGGUGCUGUGAAUGGCUGGAAGGAGUUAUCUGGGAGCUUUUUGAUGACUCGGCUGGGUUGUAUGUUUGCUUCUGCUUUUGGUGGUUGUUGUUGGACAAUUCUGCAAUGCGGUGUUCAGAGCCUAGAAGUAGGGCAUGCGGUUUGUUCUACUGGAGCCUUUGAUAGUGCAGGUAUAGUGGUUUUGACACUACAUUGAGUGUUAUUUCGGGAGAUGGUGUUGUUAUGUAUAUGGUCGAACCUGAUUGUGCUGGUUGUUUGCAAGUUAACCUGUUGCAUCAUUAUCGAUUUCAUGAUGAAUGAAAUUGGGAGCGAUGCCCUUUAAGCCGAAAAAAUAAAAGCUGUUGCGCGGCACAAAUGCCAUUGUUUCUUGCAUCUGAGACCUACUCCCUCUGCCACAACCACUCAAUUGGCUGGCAGCUUCGUUGGCGUCCAGGUCCAGCUGCUUCCCUUCCACGAGUACCUUGAUCUGACUGACUAUUUUCGUUUGGAGUUUACGCUGGUUUGAACACUGAGAAAGUUCCAUCUAAACGCAUUUAUGGGGUCAUGUAUAGGCACGGAACAGUUUUAAGCGACGCACAUCAGGACGCUCCCAUCCUAUGCUACUUACUAGUGUAAGCACAUUUUACAGGUCACAGGCGUGCACGGGAGAGGCUUGGAGAGACGACCUGGCUACUGAGAUCCGCGUAGUCUGCUUGCUUUGGUCUACCACUAGUACAUGUUUGGUUUAUGUCAUAGAUGGAGACUAGCACAAAAAGAAGAAAAAUAGCCGCAAAAGGGAAAGGAAAAAAAAAACAAAAAUAGUCACAAAGGGGAAAGAGAAAANNNNNNNNNNNNNNNNNNNNNNNNNNNNNNNNNNNNNNNNNNNNNNNNNNNNNNNNNNNNNNNNNNNNNNNNNNNNNNNNNNNNNNNNNNNNNNNNNNNNNNNNNNNNNNNNNNNNNNNNNNNNNNNNNNNNNNNNNNNNNNNNNNNNNNNNNNNNNNNNNNNNNNNNNNNNNNNNNNNNNNNNNNNNNNNNNNNNNNNNNNNNNNNNNNNNNNNNNNNNNNNNNNNNNNNNNNNNNNNNNNNNNNNNNNNNNNNNNNNNNNNNNNNNNNNNNNNNNNNNNNNNNNNNNNNNNNNNNNAAAAAAAAUCCACUAGAAGGAGGGCUCGGAAAGAGGAAAAAAAGGGAAAGAAGAAAAAUAGUCGCACAAGGGAAAAAAACAAAAGGAAGAAAAAUAGUCGCAAAAGGGAAAGAAAAAAAAACAAAAAUUCCGCUAGAAGGAGGGCUCGGAAAGAGAAAAAAAUAAAAAAGGGAAAGAAGAAAAAUAGUCGCAAAAGGGAAAGAAAAAAAACAAAAAUUCCGCUAGAAGGAGGGCUCGAACCUCCGACCUUGUGGUUAACAGCCACACGCUCUAGCCAACUGAGCUAUUCCAGCUUGGUGGCUAUGAGUCGUAGGUUAUCUAGAUAAUCAAUGCUUCAAAUAGAUGGUUAAUGGAUGGUAACAGGAACAAGCACCGAAUCACCAUGAUUCAUGGCCUAGGCAGCGACGGCAUUGCUCUCUUCCAACUGGCCCGAAUCGUGCAUCUGUAAUAAGAAAGAAAACCAGCGUGACCUGAUCGCGCUUCCUUGUCCAACUCACCGAACAGCUUCAUGGCCAAGGGUAAAGACCUUGCCCAGAUGUUGCAAAACUCCUGGUGAUUUACUACAGAACAAUAUGGACAUGGUAUAUUCUGCUAGGUUUGGUUGCCGUUGGUGUAUCCGUUGAGCUCAGCAUUGGUUUCACUUUCAACCUGCCGAGAGCCUGAGACGGGCCCCCAAGAAAACAGGUGACGGGACUACUUGUCCUGGGAUGUGUCACCGAGGAGCAGUUGAACUGAUGCAAUCAACACCAGUAGGGUGUCACUCUGGAUACACUUCACACUUAAGUUUUGGUGCACCUACAACACAACCUUGAUCUAGCUAGCGAUGUAACCACUUCAGCUCACCAAUCCUCAGCUGUGCAUCAGCUAAGCAGGUGACCAUUUUUAGCACCUAAUCCCUCCGUUUCUAAAUACAAGUCUUUUUAGAGAUCUCAAUAAAAGGUUACAUUUGUAGAGAUUUCAAUAUAUACUACACAAAUAUGAGUCUUUUUAGAGAUUUCAGUAAGGGGCUACAUUUGUAAAGAUUUCAAUAUAUACAAUAUAUUGAAGGCUACAUUUGUAGAGAUUUCAAUAUAUACAAUAUACGGAGCAAAAUGAGUGAAUCUACACUCUAAAAUGCGUCUAUAUACAUCCAUAUGUAGUCCAUAUUGAAAUCUCUAAAAGAUGUUAUAUUUAGAAACAGAGAAGUACAUAACUACAUUCGUGUACGUGAAAGCAACAAGAUGGACAACGUGUACAGCGACAGCGUCAUCAAGGGGCCAAACCGGCAAACAAAGCAACAUGUCAAGAGCAGCAACGAGUAUAAUUGCAAGGUUUCCAACACAGGCGGCACAGAAACAGCAGCAUCAAGUCAAAUGCAAGGUUCCAGCUUUCCAAACCAAGGUAAGGUACAAAGACAACAAGGGUACACUCCCAACAUCACCCGCCCUCACUUUGGGGCAUUCAUGAUGCAUCACAACAGUAUCCCCCGUCUUUCGGGGUUUCCCCGCUGACGGCGGGCAUACUGCACUACAAAUACAUAAAUAUGAAGAAGAACAUACACAUCACCAAGAUUACGGACAGACGGCACCGACACAGACAGGCUCACAUCUUUAGAGGCCUACUUCUUCCGAGUACCAGGUCCUUUCUGGGGGAAAUGCAACCACCAACCAACAGCUUGCGCUUUCAUGGACGAAGGACGGAACAGAUCAUUGUGAAAACAUCUUCCACAACUUACAGGGAUGAUAUUUACUAAAAAGAACCACAGAGCAACCACAACCAUGUUCCGAAGCCGAUCAGGCGUCUUCUGUCUUGCACAGGUCUAGCAGUGACAGUGUCUGCAAAAUUGAGAUGAGAAUGUUCAGUCCACAAGUCUUACUCAAGC